UGGUAAGAUCUGAAGCCUAGUCCACGACUGGCAUAUCUUGAGUUCAAUUUCAAUUGCUAUAAAUCAUGCCUCGAUAUUGUGUUUUCCCAAGUUGAUUUGGUUUGUAUCGGAAACUUAGAUGACAUAAUAUAUUUCUUAAAGUGUCCAUGGAGAAACCUAAUGAUGGAGUAACGUGGAACCAUAAAAAGAUGAAUAAGUAAAGACUGUAACUGGGUCGGGACUGUCCUUUACUGGGAUGCCCCACAAGCUGCUCUAUUCACUAUCCAAGUGAAAGGAUGGACCGUCACUUUAAUGGUAAACUAACUGAAAAUAGCUAUUAAUGGAUAGUCACUUCUUUAAUAAUGCUUUUGAUUGCAGGUUAAGAUGGAUAACUUUCAUAAGCCCCUUAAUGCUUGUUGAUUAAAACUCUUGAACUAGCAAUUAUCGGCAAGAAUAUGCCUCAUGUGCUUCUUCUUUUUCACGUGAGUGUAUUCUUAUGAGAUGUCCUUUUAACAUACAGUGGUUUGUUCAUGCAUGUAUGAAUGGGCAGUAUGUUCCAAAUCAAUUUUCCCAGCAACAUAUUCAAGAAAACAAGGAAAUGGCGACUCUCAGGUUUUCAGAUAGAUCGUGGCCGGUGAAGCUCUUAAGCUAUACGCAUAAUAAAUACCAGGGGGUGUAUUUCUCUGUUGGUUGGAAAGAAUUUGCAAGAGAAACUCAUCUGUGCGUGGGAAAUAUCUGUAUGUUUGAACUCAUUGAUAGUGAUGAUGUUGUCUUUCAAGUCUCCGUUUUUAGUAGUGCUGGUAAGAAUCUGAUUCACAUUGAUUGAGAUGAGCAUUUUCUAAUUUAUUCGGUAGUUGUGAAUCAUGAAAAGUAUACCUUUUAUGUUUCUGUUUUCUUCUUCUAAAGUUUAAAUCAUCACUCACAUAUCUCAUAUUCAUUUUUCACUGUUUCAUGUAUUGGCUAUUCAAAACAUGCACAUGUGCAGAGUGUUCCGGUUAAAUUUGUCAAGCAACAUCUUCACGAAAACAAACAAGUAGCAACUCUUCGGUAUUCGGACAGAUCGUGGCCAGUGAAGCUCAGUAGGAGCCUUGGACAGGCCAGAGGUGCUCCGGCUCUGGCCUUCUCCACCGGUUGGUGUGUAUUCGCAAGAGAAACUGAUCUGCAUGCGGGAAAUGUCUGCUUGUUUGAGCUCAUCGAUAGGGAUGAGACAGUGUUCAAAGUCUCCAUUCUGAGAGGUGCUGGUAAUGACCUGAUUCAUGUUAAUGGAGAUGAGCAUCGGAAGUAUUACCUGAGGCCAUUGCAGCAUCGAAAUGAAAUCAGGGGUUCCUAAUGAUGCCUCCUUAUAUUAAGCAGCGCAGCAGCGAAUCAAUCAAAAGCACUCUUUUCUGCUUUUUGUUCUCCUUUCUUCCUUUUUGUGCUAGUUUCAAUUCUAUGACCACCUUGCUUGGAAAGAACCUCCCAAAUCAGUGAUCUCUAUGGUUUUGCACAGCGGCUCAACCUGACCAGUGGAUCUACAGGACAGUGAAGACAUAAUGCUCUGAUGUAUGUUCAUGGAGUAUUUCUCCUUUUAUAUGUUUUGUCCUUCAAAUAUUAUGGCUUGUCCUCGUCCUCUUCGUUCCCGGAGAGAAUACGAAGUUGUUGCCGAGCAGGAGACUCCUCCUCCAAGUAGUAGCCCUCACUUCUUCAGGAUCAUAUUCUUUGGGAUUGUACUCUCUGACAAGCUAAUUUGCCAGGUUACGAGUUUUGAUCAACACCCUUGAGAGGUUCCUGAAAGUCAUUGAUCUCAAUUAAGCAGCAAUCCAAAGCAUUUUCUUUUAGAAGUGACGUGUCAUUUAGUUUUCCAUACUAUUCAAAAUCAACUUUGGGAAAAAGCACAACACCGAAGCUUCAAUCUGGUCAGCAUGUAAGUAUUUCUAAUGUUCAAAUUAGUGGCGGAAAAUAUCACUAAGAAUUUUGUUUUACACUGACGGUAAAUGGUCUAUUUUUUAUUAUUUUUUCUUUGAUAGUACAAGAGACAAAAGCCUGAAAAGUAGAGUGGUUGGCAAUGGCGAAAAUUUUGCAUACAUGAUCUAAUUCUACAUGCCAUGAUCUAUAUGCCAAAAUAAAGCCUAGCAAUGCAACUCCGGAUUUUAUAAGGAUUUGCACAAGCAAUCAACUUACGUUCUCUUGGACUUUCAACUUUGAACUUGCAACUUUAAACUCCUUGCGAGAAUGGUGUUUGGUGCACUCCCGCAAAAUAAAAUCGAAAUGACAUUAUGUUGGAAAUUUAAGUAAGACCAAUCUGAACACAAUGGGGAUCAUCAUGGAUGGGUCGUAACAUGUACAUAUAUGAAUGUAACCUGUAAACAAUGAGACGAAGGGCGAAUAAGAGACUAAAUAUAAAAAGAGUUGUGGAAAUAGCUUAUUAUCAUGAAAAUAGGUGAUAGUUGGAUAUGAAGAGAAAUGACGGUUGAUCAUGAAAAGUGAUAAUAAUGGGGAUAAGGUACAUAUUCUCAAGAGAUGUAAAUACAACCAAAUCAUACAUUAUUCAAUACUCCUGUUCAAGAAUAGUAGCCUUCUCUUCUUCAUAUUAUUCCCUACUAUUAUUUUCUUUUUUCACAUACAAGUUUGAUAAUAUAUUCAAGGUGAAAUUUCAAGAGAGAAAUUAAGUAAUUCUUGAACUCUUUUUUUUUUUUUUUGGUAGCUAUAGUGUAUAUAUUGGAGGUGUAUUUGUUUUAAAUCAGUAGCAACAAUUGGAGCAAAUAAUACUUUAAAGACAAUCAUCUUUAUCAUGCAUCAAAGGACUAUAUAAACUACUGAUCUAUCUUCAUCAGGGAAUGAAGUUCCCAACAAGAGCACGAUGGGUGAAUGAAUGAAACUGUGUAAUGGAAACUGAGUUAACACAAAAGACUGAGGUUGGUGGGAAUUAAUUUAUAACAAAAGAACCUGCCAACGAGCCUGAUUAUUCGGCCAACGAGCCUGAUUAUUCGGCCAACGAGUUAACAAAGGAUAAAUCGAAAACAAAAACCAAGGGCAGGCAUGCUGGCUUUGUUUUGUCGUUGACAUACUAGGAAGGCAUGACGUUAGAUCACAAUGAAAUUAUAAGACACGAUCGGGGUAUUGUGGAAAAUCAAUCAUCUCAUACCUGGGACGAGCAAAUGAUGGAAGGUUUUCGUUUAUAGCUUGCGGUUUCGCUCUUCUUGAAUCCACAAAAGAGAACAUGCUUCCGAUGCUCUCCUCAAAGCUCUCUCUCUCUCAGUACGAGCAUAAGCUCGGAUGAGUUCUCGGGUUAUGGUGACUGAGAGAGAUGAUACAUAUGAGAACGUAAGAGAACCCUUCUUCUAUGUCUAACGUAUUUUGCUGAAAUUCUUGUCGUGACUUUCCCAGAGGUGAACCAUUGAGGAAAAGUUAAAUAAUUACUAAGCAAACAAGGGUCUCCCAAACCCAUACUAGUUGCAACUUUGGGAUUUUAAUUUAAUCAAUUAAACGUGCAAAUCAAUUUAUUUUGGAGUUGCUACUAAUCUAUUAUGGGUAAAUUGGAAAUCUAAAUACAAUGUAGGGGAACAUUUCACUUAUGCAAGUAAGAGAUUUCAUGGAUAAGAGGGCCUAGUUGUGCUAGAUAAAUCUACCAUCAUCUUAGUACCUUUUCUCUUUAUUUCAAAAUGUUUGGUGAGUAGUCUUGAUCAAUUUAAUCCUAAAUCACUAAUCAUGAGGGUGUGCAUACACUAAUUUAGCACUCAAUAAAUUACAAUAAGAAAUAAAUCACUAGAAUAGGAUAAAAAAGACACCCGAACCCCUAGAGUGCCAAAAUUUGGUACAAAAGGAUACUUAGGUGCCAAAAGUUACAAAAGUGACACUUAAGUGUUAAAAUCGGAGCAAAAUGGAUCACUUAAGUGCCACCGGCGAAAAAAUCCGACCAAAACGCUAACGUGGCAAUUUUUCGGCGAGCUGCACGCAAAACAACGUCGUUUUGGUAUAAUUUGAAUUUUAAUAUAUUAAUUAAAUUAAAUUUAAUUUUUAAAAAUUAAUUAAUUAAUUAAAAAAAAAAAAAGGAGGGAGGCAGCCGGCGGUUGAGGGCUCAGCCCUUGCCGUCGUCACUACCGCCUCCCCUCCGUCGCCAGGGAGGUUGGGGAGUGUUGGUCGAGGCCACCAAGCCCGGGCCAAGGGUCGGCGGCCCCAGCCGACCGGCGACAAGGGCUUGCAUGCCCUCGCCCGGCCGACCCAAAGGUCGCUGCCUGCUGGGGGGUCGCCCCAACCUCCUCCGCCUUUGCCGGGUCGAACCCUACCUUUGGUGGUGACCACCGAUCGGAGAGAUUUACUUGCGAGGAGUGCAGGACGAGCGACACCGUGAACGAUUGAGUUGUCAAACAACCUUGACCACUAGAGAUGGGUGGCGGCAAAGGCAGUGGAGGUGGCGGUGAAUUGGAUUCGUGGAGCGAAGGGCAGAGUAAAUCGUGGCGUUUCGGAUUCGUGGAGAGAAGGGCAGAGUAAAUCGUGGCGUUUUGAGAGUGCGUUUGUGUCUCUAUGAUAGCUACUGAGCUAGAUUCAUUUUUAAGGGAUUGAUAAAUGGGUUUUAAAUGGGUACAGAUUAGAUUCAUUUAACACUUAUAUAUUUUAAUCUCUUUAUUUUAAAAAUCCAUUACGGGAUGCUUUGAGAAAUAAAACUUUACUCAUUAAUGACCUUUUAAACAAGUAUGGGUCGAUAAAUGAGUCGUGUACUUAUUUUGACACCUCUGCAUCCACGUUACGAGAGGCUCGUGUCUGAUUAACACGUCCCAUGAAUCUUUGCCUUGAUCACCGAGCCAUCUGAUUUUGCCAGGACGAUGGCCUCAAGAACGAAGGCUCCGCGCUCCUGUAGUUGAACUUGAAACCCCCCAAACCAUCUUCUUCUCCUCCUCCUUCUUCUUCUGUGAGGAGCCAGGGGACACUGCUGUCUAUGGCUUCUCGCAACAGUCGUCGUCGUCGCCGGAGAGAAGAUGGAGCUGUCGAGCGGGAGGUCGCGACCGGCCCUCGUCUUGGGAGCCGUUGCUUCUUCAAGAUCAUACUCUCCAACGCGCUGGAAUCUGGAAAGCUUGUGAGUUGAUCACAUCUUCAUCAGUGUUUUAAGAGUUUCUCGUGCUCUGUGCUGUGUACCCGUCAGCCCGGAAAAACUGGUUUGUGGGUUCGGUUUGGAAUGAACUUUUCGCUUCCAGCUUAAAAAAGAACAAGAGGGUAUUGUCUAACAUGGCCUGUUUAUCAAACAAAAUUUAUCCUUUUUGCAUGCUUCGAUGAUAUGAAUGUCUUCAUCGGAUGUGCGACCGGUUGUCCUGAACCGUGGUGAUGGUCGGCCUCAUGUCCUCUUGGCUGCUGCCAUUUCUUCUGCUAAAGUUUGCUUUUUUGUAUAUUCGUUUUACGAUUUGGGUCGAAAUGGGUUUUCGGAAUAUAGUGUGAUGUGCAUGGUUCAGGUUUCCACAACAUCCGUUGGACAUUGCUAUUGGGAGAGUAAUUUCUUGGGUACACAGAUUUAACUGACCAAAAAUGAUAUGACAAAGUAAUGGGCUUUUUCUAAUGUGCCUUGCUUCCUUGGGCAGCCGAUCUCAGUCGUGGGAGAAAAGAAAAAUCGAUGUCAGCUGUUGUAUGACAAAACGUCUUGGCCAUGGGAUCAAGAUAAUUUUAUGUGAACUGUUGGAUUUGGCACGGCAAUUUCACUAAUCUUAGUAUAAACGAAUUUUGGAUUCUUGAGCUUUAUGCUUGUCCAAUGAAGCAACUAGAACUACAAAUCAAUCCACGACCAUUCUGAAGUACAAUUGUGGAAACUGAUCAUUCAUCCAUGUUGCAGAAUUUAAAGUUUCUUAGUUUUCUUCCUAUUCUCUGCACUUCAAUUUAACUAUGUUGAGUUAUUAUCAUGGACCUUUAACUUUAAUUUUUUACAUAAUAGGGAAUUCCAAAGAAUUUCUUGAGAAGAUGUGGAAAGGAUCUCUCAAACUCGGUGCUUCUUAAGGUUCCAGGCGGUUCAGCCUGGACUAUUGAACUAGAAAAGUGUAACAAUGACUUGGUUUCGUUGUGGAAAGGUUGGCGGGAAUUCAUGGAGCAUUACUCUAUUGGUCAUGGUCACCUCAUCGUUUUCAAAUAUAAAGGGAACUCUACUUUUCAUGUAAUAAUAUUCGAUAAGAGUGCUUCAGAGAUAGAUUAUUCGUCGAGCAGCAGCAAAAUAUCGUACCUUGGGAGCAAAUUUCCCUCGCCAAAAUCAGAAGACGUCCUAGGGGCAGAAGAUCUGCAGGAUUCCACACCCCGUCAAAGAAUGAGGGUUGAACCACAUUUGCCUUAUUCUCAGCUAAGUAUGAGCUACCCACCACAAGGUUUGGAAGGUGUGACUCUUCAUUGUUUAAGUCACGUUUCUUCUUACAUCACUCUCUUUUGUUAGUUGUUUUCCAAAAAUACUAGAAAACCUUUUUAUAAAAGUUUUUUCCUGAGCCAGUUUUUCUUGGUCCUACACCUCUGAGUUCUCUCACCGCUCCUGAAUUAUCCAAUGAGUUUUAUUCAGAGAAUCCCUUCUUCAAACUGGUGAUAAAUCAGGGUGGAAAAAUGGUAAGAUCUCGAGUUUCAUCCACUGCUGGCAUAUCUCAAUUUCAAUUAGGAUUGCUUGCUAAAUCUUGCCUCAGUAUUGUGUUUUCCCAAGUUGAUUUGGUCUGUAACUGAUACAANNNNNNNNNNNNNNNNNNNNNNNNNNNNNNNNNNNNNNNNNNNNNNNNNNNNNNNNNNNNNNNNNNNNNNNNNNNNNNNNNNNNNNNNNNNNNNNNNNNNUGCAUAAGCUGCUCUAAUCACUAUCCAAGUGAAAGGAUGGACAGCACUUGAACGGAAAACUGUCUGUUAAUGGACGUUCACUUUUGGAGAAUUCUUUAGAUUGCAGGUUAAGAUUGAUGAUGCUUUAGAUUGCAGGUUAAGAUCAUUAAAUUUUGUGAGCCUCUUAAAGUUGUUGACUGAAACUCCUGAAACUAGCAAAUAUCACCAUGAUUAUUCUUUUUUUUUUUUGGUAAUUGUCACCAUGAUUAUUCUUCUUGUGUGCUUUUUCCUUAAAAUUGUGUGCUGACUCGUUUGUACAAACAUGUACAUAUGUGCAGAAUAUUCCUGUUGGUUUUGCCAGGCAAUAUAUUCAAGCAGACAGGGAAAUGGCGACGCUUAGGUUUUCAGACGGAUCGUGGCUGGUGAAGCUUUUAAGAAAUUUGCAGGAUCACCAGGCAUGCUUCUCAUUCCACUUGAACAAUUUCAUAUCUUGGUUGUUUAAACAUGUACAUGGCCAGAGUAUUCCGCGUGGAUUCAUCAAGCAACAUAUCCAGGAAAAGCCAAGAGCAACUCUUAGGUACUCAGACAGAUCAUGGUCAGUGAAGCUCAUCAGGAACAACAGACACCUCAAAGGGGUUCUGCUCUGUCCUUCUCUGCUGGUUGGCGUGCAUUUGCAAGAGAAACUCAUCUGCGUGCAGGAAAUGUCUGCUUGUUUGAGCUAAUUGAUCGGGUUGAUAUUGUCUUCAAAGUCUCCAUUUUGAGUGGUGCCAGUAAGGACUUGAUAUACGUUGUUGAAAAUGAGUACUUGAAGUGUAUGCCUCCCUUAUUUGGUUGUGCUGCAUAACUGACGAGUACACUUUCUUUUCUAUGUUAAUUUAAAAUAUAGUGAUUUGUCUCCCUUAUUUGGUUGUGCUGCAUAACUGAUGAGUACACUUUAUUUUCUAUGUUAAUUUAAAAUAUAGUAAUUUGUCUCUUUCGAUGUGAAGAGCACGAAUAAUAUUUUCAUUCAAAUUGUCUGACUUUUUGAUUUCAUGGUAAUCAUUAUUUCCAAUUGAUUUAUAUAUCUUAUUAUCGUAGGUCAAUUGAAGAAACGCUUGCGCUAAAGUCCAUUAAAGUUUCCAUUUUUAGUUCAGCGCAGGAACAAACUGUCUAAAUGCAGAGUGAAUCAUAAUGCGCCCGUUUUUCGUGGUCCUACACCUCCAAAGCCCUUCACUUCUCCUGAAUGAGCCAGUGUGUUUGAGUCAGAGCAUCCCUUCUUCGAAGUGGUAAUACAGCAAUGGCAUCAGAAUCAAUUGGUAAGAUCUGAAGCCUAAUCGAUCGGUGGCAUAAUUCAAGUUCAAUUACGAUUGCUGUAAAUCAUGCCUUGAUAUUGUGUUUUCCCAAGUUGAUUUGGUUUGUAUUGGAAACUUAACGACGGAUUAUAUUUCUCAAGUGUCCAUGGGGAAUCCUAAUGAUGGAGUAACAUGGAACUAGGAAAAGAUGAAUAAGUAAAGACAGUAUUUGGGUUGGGAGUGUAAUUGAAUAUUCCUCACAAGCCACUCUAUUCACUAUCCAAGUGAAAGGAUGGACAGGCACUUGAAUGGUAAACUAACUGAAAAUAGCUUUUAAUGGACAGUCCUUUCUUAAAUAAUGCUUUGGAUUGCAGGUUAAGAUCGGUGACUUUCAUAAGCCCCUUAAGGCUGGUGAUUAAAACUCUUGAACUACAUCAUGUGCUUUUUUCCUUGUCUUUCACGUGAGUGUAUGUUUAUGUGAUGUCCUUUUAACAUACAGUGGUUUGUUCCCACAUGUAUGAAUGUGCAGUACGUUCCCCGUCAAUUUGCCAAGCAACACAUUCAAGAAAACAGGGAAAUGGCGACUCUUAGGUUUUCAGACAGAUUGUGGCUGGUGAAGCUCAAAAGCUAUUCGCAUGGAAACCUGAUGUUCUUCUCUGCUGGUUGGCCUGCAUUUGCAAGAGAAACUCAUCUGUGUGUGGGAAAUAUCUGUGUGUUUGAGCUCAUUGAUAGGGAUGAUGGUGUAUUCCAAGUCUCUAUUUUCAGUAGUGCCGGUAAGGAUCCAAUUCACAUUGAUUGAGAUGAACAUAGGAAGGGUUACUUUAAGUCAUUUGCUGCAUUAAUAUGAAUUCAGCAUUCCCAAUUAGCCUCUUUUAUUCGGUAGUUGCAAAUCAAUGAAAAGUAGACUUUUUCAUGUUUCUGUUUUCUUCUUUUCUGCACUAGUCUCAAUUCGAUUUUCAUGAUGACAGUGAUUUUCAAUCUAUGCUGGAUCUUUUCAUAGCAAGUCAAUUAAAGAGACAUUACACCAAUUCUAUUAAAUUUCUCAUUGUUUUACUGCAGGUGGGAUAGAGAAAUCGACAUGCCGACUGGGCUGUUCUGAGCUGGAUUUUCAUGGUCCUACACUAUCAAGGCCUCUCACGUCUCACGAAUUUGCUAGCAAUAUUGAUUUGGAGCAUCCCUUUUUCAAAAAGGUGACCCCGCAAAGUUAUUUCAAUCGCCUGGUAAGAUCUAAAGCUUAAAUCAUCACUCACAUAUCUCAUAUUCGUUUUUCACCGUUUUCAUGUAUUGGCUAUUAAAAACAUGCACAUGUGCAGAGUGUUCCGGUUGGAUUUUUCAAGCAACAUCUUCAGGAAAACAAACAAAUAGCGACUCUUCGGUAUUUGGACAGAUCGUGGCCAGUGAAGCUCAUUAGGAGCCUUGGACAGGCCAGAGGUGCUCUGGCUCUGGCCUUCUCCACCGGUUGGUGUGCAUUCGCAAGAGAAACUGAUCUGCGUGCAGGAAAUGUCUGCUUGUUUGAGCUCAUCGAUUUGGAUAAGACAGUGUUCAAAGUCUCCAUUUCGAGUGGCGCUGGUAAUGACCUGAUUCACGUUGACCGAGAUGAGCAUCAGAAGUAUUACCUGAGGCCAUUGCAGCAUCGAAAUGAAAUCAGGGGUUCCUAGUAAUGCCUCCUUUUAUUAAGCAGCGCAGCAGCGAAUCAAUUAAAAUCACUCUUUUCUGCUCUUUGUUCUCUUCUUUCUUCCCUUUUGUGCUAGUUUCAAUUCUAUGACUACCUUGCUCGGAAAGAACCUCUCAAAUCGGUGAAUCUUUAUGGUUUUGCACAGCGGCUCAACGUGACCAGUAGAUCUACAAGACGGUGAAAGACGUAAUGCUCUGAUGUAUGUUCAUGGAGUACUUCUGCUUUUAUAUGUUUUGUCUUUGAAAUAUUAUGGCUUGUCCUCGUCCUCUUCGUUCCGGAGAGAAGACGAAGUUGUUGCCGAGCAGGAGACUCGUCCAAGUAGUAGUCCUCACUUCUUGAGGAUCAUAUUCUUGGGGAUCAUACUCUCUGACAUGCUAAUUUGCUAGGUCAGGAGUUUUGAUCAAUACCCUUGAGAGGCUCCUGAAAGUCAUUGAUCUCAAUUAAGCAGCAAUCCAAAGCAUUUUCUUUUAGAAGUGACAUGUCAUUUAGUUUUCUAUACAAACCAAAAUCAACUUUGGGAAAAACAAAAUACCGGAGAUUCAAUCUGGUCAGCUUGUAAGUAAUUCUAAUGUUCAAAUUAGUGGCGGAAAAUAUCACUAUAAAUUUUGUUUUACACCGACGGUAAAUGGUUUAUUGUUCUUUUUCUUUUUCUUUGGUGGUACAAGAGACAAAAGCCUGAUAAGUGGAGCGGUUGGCAAUGGCGAAAAUUUUGUAUACAUGAUCUAAUUCUACAUGCCAUGAUCUAUAUGCCAAAAUAAGCCUAGCAACGCAACUACGGAUUUUAUAAGGAUUCGCACAAGCAAUCAACCUACGUUCUCUUGGACUUUCAACCUUAAAUUCCUUGCAAGAAUGGUGUUUGGUGCAUUUUGGGAAAAUAAAAUCGAAAUAACAUUUCGUUGGAAAUUUAAGUAGAACCAAUCUGAACACAACGAGGAUCAUCAUGGAUGGGUCGUGGCAUGUACAUAUAUGAGUAACCUAUAAACAAUGAGAGGAAAGGCGAAUAAGGGGUUAAAUAUAUAUAAAAAAAAAAAGUUGUUGAAAUGGUUUAUUAUCAUGAAAAUAGGUGAUAGCUGGAUAUGAAGAGGAAUGAUGGUUAAUCAUGAAAAGUGAUAAUAAUAGGGAUAAGGAACAUAUUUCCAAAGAGAUGUGGUGAUUGGCCAUAUAUAAAUACGACCAAAUCAUACAUUGUUCAACACUCCUGUUAAAAUAUUAUUAGCCUUCUCUUCUUCAUAACUCUCUCUUCUUCAUAUUAUUGUCUAAUAUUAUUUUCUUUUUUCACACACAAGUUUGACAAUACAUUCAAGAUGAAAUUCCAACAGAGAAAUUGAAUAUUGCUGAACUUGUUUUUUUGUGGCUUUAGUAUAUAUCUUGGAGGUAUAUUUGUUUUAAAUCAACAACAACAAUAGUAGGAGCAAAUAAUACUUUAAGGACGGUCAUCUUCAUCACGCAUCAAAGAACUAUAUAAAAUACUGAUCUAUCUUCAUCGGGGAACGAAUUUCCCAACAAGAGCAUGACGGAUAAAUGAAUCAAACUGUCUAAUGGAAACUGAGUCAACACAAAAGACUGAGAUUCAUGGGAAUUAAUUUCGAACAAAAGAACCUGAUAAUUUGGCCAGUGACUUAUAAAUCGAAAACAAAAACCAAGGAUAGGCAUGCUGGCUUUGUUUUGCCGUUGACAUACUAGGAAGGCAUUGUGACAUCCUCAAUUUUCAAUCUUGUUCAAUUGGAUAAAUCGGGCAUUUUAUCAACGCGCCGAUAGUGCUAUUCUCUGAGUCGAUCACUCAUGAAAUAACUAGACUAUCUGGGGAAGUCAUUAUGGGAUUUUAACGCAAUAAACUUGAGAAUUCGAUCAGGAAUCGACUGCUCGAUCGUACUAAUUUGCAAAGGUCAUUACGGUACAAUUAAAAAUCAUUUAGAGACCGAAGAUAGGUCGACUCGACUGAGGUGUGUGAUUGAGUGUGGGUGAUUCCACCUGAUUGUAAAAUUAUCGUCGAUUGGCACUAGACCAAUUUUAUGUCGUUUUAGGUUACCUGUGUCUAUAAUUGAAAUAUCGAGAUUUUCACGGCAACCGAGAAUCGCCAAUGAGUCAAAGAUAUACGUUGUGGCUCGAAAAUAAUUGACCACGAAUCAAUUGCACUAAAAAUUCCUAAAAACUACCCGAUAGGUUAGGUCACGCUAAAAUCGCGUCAGAUUGAAAUUAACCGCGAAUUUGAACCCGAUUUUAGAAAUUGAAAGUUUUGUUAUGUCACGAUUUAUUUUAGGAACGCCUACUCAUCAUUCAAAGAAUUUUUGGAGAUUCUGGGAUUUUUACGAAAAAUCAAUUAGGACGAUUCGGAAAACGAAUGGAAAUUUGGAUUGGCCGAAUUGAAGGGAUUUUUGACUUGCAAACCGAACCUUUGGGUGUUGGGGACUUGUGAAAUUUUUGUGGGUAUUUUCUUCAUCAAAAUUUGGAGAUUAGGUGAAGAAAUUGAAGUUUGUUUUGUGAAAUUCGUAUGCUAAUAUAAGGGCUGCUUUUUUGGCUUCAAAAUGGAUUAUUUUUAGGAAUUUAUCUUCAAGAAAGUACUAGGAGACCAUAGGGUAUGUUUGAGGGCUUUAAGGGGACCAAGCAUUCAAUUAUUUGGAUAGUCUUUGUUGACUAUUCUUCCUCUCCCUCAAGCUUCCGUCGCACGCCCAUCCGCCGCCCAUCUCCUUCGCGUGAACUUCUGGCUUCACUUUCAUUUCCUCUGCUAUUCUUCUUUUUAUUUCACCGAAGCCAGCACCUAUUCACUUCACCCCUCACUUCCACGUGCUGCUCCUCCAUCGUCACCCCACGCUCGAUUCUCCACCAACCGUUGCCCCCCAUCAUUUCCUUUCAUUUAUGCUGCAUCAUCAUCCGUAGCCCCAUCAUCCCCAUCCCACCGAAGCUGCUUCUUGCAGCUACCGUCCAAGCCACUUCGCCAAGUCAACCACGAAGCCUCCACCGCCCAGCAGCGUCCACCGAGUGAAGUGUCUUCAGCCGGCUCACGCCCGGUCAACAACAACACCCACAGAAGCUCCAUCGUUUACUCCAUCUCCACCAAUAUUCGUCUGCCACCGAACCAAGUCAUCCAUCAUCCGUGAGUAGCCCAUCAGCCGAGGGAAAACCGAGCAGCAAUUCUUCAGCUCAAACAGCGAGCUUGCGGGCCAUUUUUCGAGCCCGGUCAGUGCCCCGUUGACGUCGUCACUUUGGAGAGUAUCGAUCGUCAUUGCGACCCUGUCGUUUUGAUCUGAGUGGAUCUCGAAUCAAGUGAGUUAUCUCACUAAACCUUGAUUAGUAGGUUAAUUAUGCUUAGAGAGUAAUUAGAUUAGGUUAAUUAAGGUUUAGGUGGUUAGUUAGAUUAGAUUAGUUAUUUAAAUAUCCUAUUUUGCAUGUUAGGUUGUUAAUUUAGGUUAAUUAGGGCCUAGGUAGAUUGUAUUAAUUAUCUAGAUUGGUUCGGGAAUUUUCCGGGACCGACUCGGUAUUUAAUUUUGUAAUUUCGGCCUAGGUUAGCUAUUUUUGGUAUUUAAUUGAUUUAUUUAAUUAAUUUGUAAUUAUUUAAUUAUUAAAUAUUUUCCGGAAAUUAGACCGGAAUAGCCGAUGACUGGAAUUUCGUGCUGAUUGCAUGAUGUGUUUAGAUUUCGCAAUUGGAUGUUAAUUUGUGCAAACUGAGUGCUGAUUGAAUUUUUGGUAAUUUAUUCCAAAAAUUGUGAAUUUCAAUAUUUAUUCAGAAAUUACCAGGUGUUUUUAAUAUGAAGAAAAUAGGCUUGGAUUACUAUUUUAUGGGAGACAUUUGAGUGAAAGGUAUGGUGUCCUGGGUCGAGAUUAUUUGAUCGUGUGUUGAUUAAUGAAAACUAGUCUCGAGCUUUUAAGCCGGACAUUACCCUAUAUGGGAUAUUUAUUUUUUGGAUCGCGGGUCGCAGUAGAUUUUGGACCUACGCCCCUUCGGGGAAGCCGUCUAUUAAGAUAUGGACGUCGUCAUGCUCAAUGGAGGUGAGACGAUGCCUGGCUAUGCCAGAAGGACAUUGAACUUAUGAGUAGGUGACUCGGGUCGCGGUAGAUUCUGGACCUAGGCCCCUUCGGGAAAGCCGUCUAUUAAGAUAUAGAUGUGGUCGUGCUCAAUGGUGGUGAUGCGAUACCCGGCUGUGCCAGUAGACACUGAACCUAUGAGUAGGUGGGGCUUAUUAUUUCGCUUCCGCAUGUGCAAUUAAAAAUGAAAGUGUAACAUCCCGGGUCUCCACUGUACACAUAUUAUCCGCUUUGGACACUAAGUCCUCACGGUUUUGUUUCUCUCGGGAUAGCCUAUACUACCCCAAGAAAACGUGUAUGUACAAUUAGAGGGACCCAAGCCUUAUAAGCUAGCCCAGGACUCUCUCCUUAGGCGAUGUGGGACAAGAGAGGGACCCCUUCCUUGCGCACGUCCGAGACCACCGCUCGGGCCGUUACACUCUCCACCUCUUGGCAGAAGAGCGUUCUCGCUGUGGCCCCACACGCGGUCGGGAGUCAGAACAACAUUCUUGCUGUGGCCCCACACGCAGUCGGGAGUCGGCUCUGAUGUGCAGUCGGGAGUCGGCUCUGAUACCACUUGUAACAUCCCGGGUCUCCAUUGUACACAUAUUGUCCACUUUGGACACUAAGUCCUCACGGUUUUGUUUCUCUCGGGGCAACGGUUUUGUUUCUCUCGGGGCAGCCCAUACUACUCCAAGAAAAUGCGUAUGUACAGUUAGAGGGACUCAAGCCUUAUAAGCUAGCCUAGAACUCUCUCCCUAGGCGAUGUGGGACAAGAGAGGGACCCCUUCCUUGCCCAUGUCCGAGAACUGCCGCUCGGGCCGUCACAGAAAGGGUCAGCGACUAGUCCUGGGAAGUUGCAAUUAUAUCGACUAGAGCGGGAUGGGCAUGCACUCGAGGAUCGGGACGUGACAGGCAUGACGUUAGAUCACAAUGAAAUUAUAACACACGAUCGGGGUAUUGUGGAAAAUCAAUCAUCUCAGACCUAGGACGAGCAAAUGAUGGAAGGUUUUCCUUGAUAGCUAGCGGUUUUGCUCUUCUUGAAUCCACCAAAGAGAACANNNNNNNNNNNNNNNNNNNNNNNNNNNNNNNNNNNNNNNNNNNNNNNNNNNNNNNNNNNNNNNNNNNNNNNNNNNNNNNNNNNNNNNNNNNNNNNNNNNNAUUUUUAGCUUUAUAAGGUUUCGAUUUGUUUGCCGCAACAAAUGCUGGCUUAACUUGAGUAAUAUGAAUUUGAUUGACUUGUUAUUGCAAUCGACGCAUUCUUUUUUUUCUUUUGAACCCUUCCUUUCUAGGUACGCGUCAUAUUACCCCCUUGGAUUUCCUCUGCUUCAUACCAUUGACCCUCUGACGGGUUAUAAGGUACUUUCAGAGUUCGUCGGUGAUGUGAUUGUACCAUAUGACCAUACUCCCUAGUGUCAUCGCGAAAUUCCUCCCCCCAUCUGGAAGGAACGAUUUUAUAGGCAUAGGAAGAGUAAGAUGGAGGAGGCGCAUGACUCACAUAAUAAUCAAACUUUCCAUUGGGCUCCCCCAAUGUGCCUAUGGUAGAUCCUUUUCAUCAUAUCUCUAUUGAAUGACUUAUAGGGCUUUCGAUGAGGAGGAACAUUUUCUGCAUGAAAAAUUUCAUCCUCGUCACGAGUCCCAUGAUAUGGUCUGGAGGUUCUUGCACUUUGGUACUUGCUAAAGGUACGAUCUUCUAACGGGUACUCCUGUUCUCUUAGAUAUCAAUGAUCUUUGUUUUUAAUUAUGUGCCUAGAAUGAGUGCAAAUAUGUGGCCAUCUACAUCUUUUACCUCGAGGCCUUAUUGAAACCAUACCAGUCAUUACAGGGAAUGGGUCUAUGUCCACCUCCAUCGAGGAUUUCCUUUUGUCGUCGGCAGACUUUAUUUUCCCCUGUCAAAUUACCUCUUGGAUAUUCUUCUUUAGGACCACGCAAUCAAAGGAGCUGUGGCUCCACAAGUGAUGCCAUUUGCAAUACUUCUUUCCCACUAAUUCAUCUUUAGCGGGUAAAUUCUAUACUACUGUUAACUUUAUUUGACCAUCUGCCAAUAACAUGUCAAAGAUUUCUUCGGUCCCAGUAACAUCGAAGGAAUAGUAAAUUGAUUUUUUGGCUUAGCCAUGAUAUUCGACUUUUCCUUUGUCUUAGUCGGCUUUAAUGGUUGGCAUGUAUAUGGUUUUUCAAUGACCAUUUUGGUAACAACCAUUUCUACUAUCUCCAUUUGUUCCUCAUCGAAGUCAUUUGUCUCGACAAAGCUUACGUCUCCCCUUCAACCAUGUCUUUUAUCCUUUUUUUCAAGCAAGUUUUCAUGUUUGACUUACCAUUCUUUCCCAAAUUUCAAACUUCAGGCCAUUGAAGGCUAACUCUACAAAUGUUUUCUUAGGCACGAGGACUAAGCAUUUGAUUUUCGCCCUUUUGUACCUUGCUCUAAACUACUCAAUCGUUUCAUUUCCCAUUUGUCUCAUAGUUGACAAGUCAACGACUGAUAAGUCUAGGAUAGCUCGCUGGAAUUGGGUGUGGAAAAGUCGUUCCAUUUGCUCCCGUGAGAAAAUUGAAUUGGUUGGUAGUGUGGUGCACCAUGUGAAAACUGUCUUUGACAGUGGGAGUGGAACAAACACAACUUCCAAUGAUCACCAUGUGUAGCAUCACCACAGAGGGCUAAGAAGCAAGUAAUGUGUUCGAAAGUUGAUUGAUAAUCUUUUCCGGUGAAUAGCGUAAAUUCUAGCAUUUUAAAGCCUCUUCGAUAUGGGACUGUGUCCAUCCAAUAUGGGUAAAGUUUUCUAUAGGCAUUGCCCAUGUAUCCAGGAUCACCAACAUAAUUCCUUCCAGCAGGUUUGAUAGGCAUCUAAUUCUGCCAUAGGAUGGCUAUGGGUAACCUUACCAUCUGUUGGGUGCUAUACUCGGUAUGCAACAUCGGGUUCGCAUUCUACUGCGGGAACUGAUAUGCUAGCUGUUGUGGAGCUUGAUACAUUGGCUGCUGCGGAGCCUGGUAUAUUGGUUGUGGCAGAGGUUGAUACACUGAUUGCUAUAGAAUUUGAUAAAAUCGAGGAACGUUUUGGUUGGCUGGUGGAUUGUUUAGUUUUAGGUUAUGAUGUAUGGAUUGAAACUCUUGAUGAGGAAUGUGUGAUUAGUGUUUGGGAAAAUUGUUCCUGCCCCCUAGCUGGAGCUAAACAUCGUUCCUUCAUUGUCAAUAGCUACAUGUGUAAGUGGCAUAUUAGGCUGAUCGUGGGCAUGACACUAGGGACACUGGUAAUGUACUGGGCAUUCUUGUUUGUUGACACAUAAAUUUUGGCAAUCUGUUUAGUCAUUUAUUACAUUAAAAAUUAUGGGUUAAUUUUAUCCCUGAAAAAAUAGUUAAUUGCAUAGCAUAUGAUUUUAGGUGCAUUUAUUUUUAAUUUACAUUUACAUUGGGCUGGUGACGGAUGGAUUCGAAUCGAUGCUUCAGAAACUUUAAUUUGAUGAGUUGGACUAAGCUCACGAAAAGAACAAAUUGGCCCAAUCUCGUAUCCUUGGGGAGAUUUUACGAAUUUAUUUUUGUGAUAUUUCAAUUCAAAAGAAAAUAUUCGUUUGGAAAGACAAAUAUUGCGUUUGGAAAAGAAAUUUUUGUGGAUAUGAUUUUGGAAAAUUUAAAACCCUAAUCCGUGGCUUAUAAAUAGAUUAAUAGUUUUGAGGAGGUCACACAUAUCGAUACACACGGCCGUAUGUAGGGGGCUUCUCUCGAGUUUUAGAUAAAAAAAAAUUGAACACGAAAAGAGAAGAAAAACUUUGGUUUUCUCCGUUCGUUCCUUUGAAAGAAAAAGAAAAGCUUUCCUUACCAAAAAAAAAGAAAAAGAAAAGCUUUUUUGGGAGAAAAGUCAACAGCAAAAGAAGCUUUUGCUUCUGCAGAUAGAGAAAAAGGCAGCAGAAGGUAUACAGAGAGGGACGUGGGUGUGACGUCCAGCAACAGGGAAAGGAGGGAAAAAGCAAUCACUAUUCAUCUUCUUCCCCCUGCCCGCAUCUGCCGUUCGCAAGUCUAGCACCGCCGCUCCGCCGGUCUCGCCACGACGCACAGCCCCAUCGCCGGCACCCGCCGCUGCUACCCGCCUCUGCAGCAGAUCUACGUCCGUCUCCGCCAGCCUCCACCAGCGACCGACGCUGCUCCUGUCCGUGAAGCCCACGAAGCCGCCGUGUCGGCACCACCUCCGCCAGCCACCUCCGCGCCUCCGCCGCUGUCGCCCCGCCAGUCGCCGGAGAUCCUCCUCACCGCGAACCCGUGCCGGUCCACGACGUCGCUUCUGCUCGCGUUCCCAGAAGCCGCAAGCCACCGGUCCCCGCCGCGCUCCGCCUCGCUUCCAGCCCGCGCCGGCCCGCGACACCAUCGCUGUCCCGAUCUCACGCCCGGGAGCCCCGACGACGGCAGAUCUGAGCCGGUCGUCGCUCCACCGUCGAGCAAGCCCCGUACCACGCAUCCGCGCUGCUGUACCGUCCGCGACCGCCCGGUGCCCGACAACCUUGUCUGUUGCGCCAUCGCCGUGACCCCCGAGCGACGCUGCUGCAGCACCCGACGUCCGGCGUCCCCCCGCUUGCUGCUGGUCCUCCUCGCCGGAGCUCCGACGACUGCAACCUUCGACCGAGCACCCACCACGAGCUGCCAACGUCGUUUGGAAAGCAAAAGGAAAAAAUGAAAAAAUCAAAUUAGGUAGAUUUACUUUAUUUUAUUAGGCAGAUUUAUUUUAUCUUGUUUUAUUUUUUGCAUAUUGCUUUCUUCAUUUGAAAUAUUUCUCCAUGCAUAAUUGAAAAUCUCGACAUACCACCUAAUUCGCAAUCACGCAUGGAUUUUUUACUCCAUCUAUAAGGCUUUAAUCAAGCAGGAAUAAAAUGGAUAUUUUGAUCUUUAAGGCUUAAAAUCAAUUUAUCGAUUUUAUUAGCGAGAUAUUGUCCAUUGAUUUGAACGAUGUAUGAUAUCUUUGAUGAUUUUGAAUUGUCCGUCUUAACUUGAUUGCUUUAUUUAUUUUGAAAUAUGUUUGGGUUAGAAUGUUGCAUGCUUUAGGUUAUUUGCAUAUUUAGACUAAGCAUUUUUAUUUAUCAUGAAUUGUCGAAAAAUAAAUAAAUUUAGGAUGUUAGAUUUUUGUUUCAUUAGCUUAAAUUGCAUGUUUAAUUAUUUGACUUUUUUUUCGAAAUUAAUUAAAAAAAUAAAAAUCAUCAUGCAUAUAUCAUGUAAAAUUAUGACAUCCUUUGUACGUCAUUGCAUAUUAGGAUAAAUUGCAUAUUUCAUUUUAAAUUUAGAUUUUUAGAUAGAUUGCAUUUUAGUUAGGGAUUUCUAAGUUAGGGUAACAUCACUUAACUUCAUUCCUAAUACAGAUCAUAUGAUAUCUUAAUCUAGUUAGAUAAUUUUCACAUUUUAUUUAAUUCCAAAUUACAUGAAAAAAUACAAAAAAAUGUCUUAGAAUAAAUUAGUUCUAGGAUAGAUUGCAUUUUUAGGAAAAAGAAAAAAUGUCAUAUGCACGUCAUUAGGGUUAGAUUCAUUGAGAUGCAUGUCAUUUAGUAUUUUUGCUAGGCUCAUUUAAUUAGAAAUUACAUGUCAUUAGAAUUAGGUCAUUUAGUUAAUAUUGCAUUGCAUAUUGCAUGAUUUUCAUUAAUUAAGUGAAAACAAAAAAAAUUGCGUGUUAAUUAGAAACCAUAUCUAAGGUUGUUGAUGUGGAUUUUGAUUUAACAUUGUAGGUGCUUCCGUUGCUUUAAGGUAAGUUUUUGCAAUUUAUUUAUUGUUUAUUUGGGUGUUAAAUUGGUGGUUUAUGCACCCGCAUAAUCACCUUACAUGUUAGGUAAAUAGAUGUAAAAUCAAUUUAAGCUGCUCGCAAAAACAUUUUUUGGAAAAUAAAAGAAUGGUACCAAAAGGGCAUUAGAGGAAUCUAGUGUAACCAAGUCCCCGUAUCCAUAGUCUCUGGUUCGUAGGAGUAAAGUAAAACUCCCGUUACUUUACUUGGGUUUUUAAUCGACCCACCAAAAAUAGAUUAGUGGCGACUCCUGAUUAAAAUUUAAUCGCAUGUUAAAAAUUUGAACCCAAGUCGCGAAUUGGUAUAAGCUUGGGAGAGCCCGAGCUAAGCUUAAAGCUUAAAAUCCAUUAGCCAAACCCUAGGUGGUUCUCAUCCGAAAAAUUGGCUGCGACAUUGUUAAAAGCAAGUGGUGCAUCCUGACGAGGUCGCUGCUCGAUAACGCCAUUAGGAUCAAAGACUCAUUGAGGAUUAGACUCACUAGUUUGGGUUGUCGAAAUUGUUUCUUUCCUUUGCAAAAUCCUUAUAGGUGCUAAGGGUGGUACGCUCUAUCCUACAGUGCCAAAAGUUAUCGCAAGAGAUGAUGGCAAAGAUGCGUACCUUAUUGCUAUGGGAGCAUUCCCAAUCUAUGGCUGGGCUGAUCUUACUGGGAUUCCUUGUAGCCCCUAAGCACAUUCAUGAUAUGUGUUAAUUAUCAACAACCUGAUGACAUUAGUCAUUUGUCUCACCAUAUAAUCAGGGAAUUCAUUCUGGGUUUCUUCAACGGUUCGUCUCAUUGACAAAAGCAUGACAGGGGUAAUUUCCACUGAUCUCCUUGGUUCCUCCACAUGCUGCCUGGGACAUCUAUGUUCUCACCUUAUGCCUAAUUUGGAACAGGUUGAGCAAAUGAUGACUCAGCACGUGGAAUAUCCUCCAUUGAUGGUAAGGGCUUGUCUAUGACACCGUUUAGAUUGUUGCGACUCCUUGUAUGUGGCAUAGCACUCUCUCGUAUUAACACAGCCGUCCCACUGGACGUGCCAAAAAGAUGUUUUGUUAGUUUUGGAUCCCACAAAGAAAUAUUUUUCUUAAAGUGUUAUAUUUUGGUUUUUAUUAUAGGAGACUUAGGUUCUGUGUUAGUAUUGGAUAAAAAGGGUAUAUAUAUAUUAUGGUCCUGAAUAUAAUGGAGUCCCUUAACACAAGUUCGAAAUUGAAGAUAACUAAUAUUGAAUUCUAAUCAACAGCUUGAUUUUAAACUCACUUUAAUGUACUAAUAAAAGCCCAUUAUAAUCAAAGUGGUUUGUAUAGUAUCGAAGCUGAUUCGACAACAUUGAACAUUGAAGAUGUCACAUCCCGAUCCUCGAGCGCGUGCCCAUCCCUCGGUGGUCAAUAAAUUUGCGACGUCUCAGGACGCGUCGCCAACCCAUUCAUUUUAAUAUGCAUACGGAAGCGAAACAAUACCCCUGACAACAAACGCUUUGGAUGUGACAUCCUGAUUUUCAGGUUCUGAUUUCAAUUAGUUAAAUUGGGCAUUUCAUCGACACGACUACAGUGUUUUUCUCUGAGUUGGCCACUCACAAGAUAACUAGACUAGCUGGGUAAGUUAUUAAGGACUUUAAGACAGAUAGACUUGAGAAUUCGACCAAGAAUCGACUUCUCGACCGUGCUCAUCUUUAGAGAUCAUUACGACACAGUUAAAAAUUGAAUUAAGAUUAGAGAUAGGUCGGUUCAACUGAGAUGUGUGACCGAUCGUGGGUGACUCCACUAAAUUGAAAAACUCUCGUUGACCGACAAUAAUUUGAUUUUAUUGUUGUUUUGGUACCUUGUGUCUGUAUUUGAACUCUCGAGAUUUUCACGAAAAUCGAGAAUCGACAAUGUGUCGAGUGGGUUCAUCGUGGCUCGAAGAAAAUCGACCACGGGUCAUUUGUCCUGAAAAGUUUUGAAAACUACCUAGUAGCCUAGGUCACGCUAAAAACGCGUCCGAGUGAAAUUAACCGCCAAUCUAAGUCCGAUUUCAGAAAUUAAAGUUUCUGUCAUGUCACAAUAAAUUCUAGGAGUAUUGACUUAGUCUCAGAAGAUUUUUCUGACACCCGACACUUUUUGGAAAAAAAGUCGUCGCCGAGUUGUUUUAGUGCAGAAAUUGCCAAAGAUGGUUUUUGGUCACAAAAUUGAGAUGCAAGAUGGGUUAGUGGAUGAGGAAAAAUAGCAAUUGAAGCAUUGAGAUAUCGAUUGAGUUUAUAGAGGCUGAGUGAGAGUGAAUCAAGAGAGAAUGAUUGUGCAAUUGAAGCAUUUGCUAAGAAAUUCGUAACAUCCCCACACCCUAGCAAGAAUGGACCACUUGGGAGGUUAUAUGAGACAUUUUUUAUGGCCUAAUGAAGGCCAAGUAUUUAUACAUGGCUAGAUUGAUUUAAGGGAGAUAUUUUGCAAAAUAUCAAGCUUUGGUGGAGCCCUCACUCCUCAUACCUAUCCACCUCUCUUUCUCUCAUACCCCACAACCGGACAACCUCUCUCUCCCUUCUCAUUUUUUGUGCGGCACCAUAGCUAAAGAAGACAAGAAAUCCACACCAUCUGCUCUCUCUCUUGUGCGCCAACCCCACCGAACGAAGACAGAACCACUCAGUAGCUCCGCAAACCCGCGCAACCACCGACUCUGCUCCACUACGCUUUGUCUUCCACGGUCAAUUUCCUCAAAAGUCUUCAACCCGUGAAAUUCGGUUGACCCCACAAGCCAGCGAAGCCACCGAACGCCCAUCUCCUCUCCAGCCACGUGUCUUCAACAGCGCAGCACCAACGUCUGCGUCACCUUCGUUUCCUCAGCUCCAUGUCGGUUGAUGCCGAAACAGCUUCAAAUCCGCGUGUCUUCGCCAUCAACUUCACGAAGCUGCGAGCAUGAAAUCGAGCGGCCUUCAUCUGGCCGUUCGAAGCCCACCGAAGUCUAGCGUUGUGGGCCCAUCUCAAACGAAAUUCCAACUCGCAGCCCAUUCUUCAAUUGAACUGAAGCCCGCAAGAACAGCCCAGUUCAGUUUUUGUUUCACCCACUUGAAGCCCAAAAGCCUGUAGCAGUUUGGCCCAUCUUCAGUAGUCUUCGAGCCCAUCAAUCCAGCAGCAAGUCUUUAAGCCCAGUCGAAUUUCAUCAGUUGCAACCCAGCCCAGUCCAGUCCAAGUGAGUUAUUUGGUCAAGCCCAAUCCUGCAGUCCAUCAACUGAAAUUUUGAGGCCCAAUUUGUAGCAAAGCAAUUGAAGUCCAGUCCACAACUUGAAGCCCGUCUUCAGCAGGCCCAACCCAAAAGCAAGAAUAAAUCUCAGUUGGGCUGAGAUUUGUUGGGCCCAAGUUUAAGGCCCGGUCCAAGCCCGCCGGUGUCGUUGAAAGCUCGAUUUCGGCCGCCAUCGCGGUGUUUCGGUCUUUGCUUUGCCAAGUGAGUUUUGCUCACUAAUACCUUCUUAGUUUGCUAAUGAUGCUUAAGGGUUAAUUAGAUUUAAUUAAGUGCAAUUAGGUGAUUAGAUUAAAGUAGAUUAGUGAUUAUUAGAUAAUUAUGAUGCAUGUUAGGCAAUUGGAUUGAGCAUUUGGCAAGUAGACAUGUACUGGUAUUUAUUAAAUGCAUCUCGGGAUUUUUCCCGACCCUUAUUGGGUUUCAAUUAGGCAUUAUGGGCCUAAAUUGGAUUUUUAGUAUUUAUUUAUAAUUUUCGAAAUUAUUUAAUUAAUUAUUGAUUUUCCAGAAAUUCGGCAGGAUAGCCGACAAUCGGAAUUUUAUGCUGAUUGUCGUGGCGUAGUCUGUUUAUUUAAUUGAGUUUUAUUUUGUGCUAAAUUGAAUUAUUUGUGAAAUUGAGAAUUAUUCUUUAAUUGAAUAAUCUUUGGUUAUUAAUUGAAAAAUAACUAGGCAUCGGUUGAUAAUGCCUAAAAUGUUUUGGUGGAAUAUAGAAAAUGGUGAGAUUUAUAGAAAUGAAAUUAUGAUAUUUUGGCUAAGGCUGACCGUGUACCCACACAUGACUAUUUUCAUCGGGAAUGAUAAAAUGGUGAUUUGAUUAAAUGAUCAAUUUUCAGCAUACUAUGAAAGUAUGUCUGGCAGCUUUUGGUGAGCAUAUAUAAUUUUUAGCAUACUAUGAAAGUAUGGCUGGCAGCUUCUGGUAAGCAUAAAUAAUAUACUAUAUGAGUAUAAUUACGGCAGCUUAUAGUGAGCUAUAGUAUACUAUAUUGAUAAUUGCGGCAGCUUCUGGUAAGCUAUAGUAUAUUGAUAAUUGCGGUAGCUUCUUGUGAGCAUAAAUAUUAUACUAUAUGAGUAUAAUUGUGGCAACUUCUGGUGAGCAUAUAUAUAUUAUUUUCGGUAUACUAUAAAAGUAUGACUGGCAGCUUUUAGUGAACAUAAUAAACAUAUCAGAUCAAUGAAUUUGGCAGCUUCUGGUGAGCAUAUUAUUAUAUCAGAUCAAUGAAUCUGGCAACUUCUGGUGAGCAUAUUAUUAUAUCAUAUUAGUGGAUUUGGCAGCUUCUGGUGAGCUAUACUAUCUAUAUAUCGGCUAAAGUGAACAGUCCUAGAUUAUGGUCGGACUCAUAGAUAGUAUUGAUUGAGAUGACCGGGGAAUGGUCAUGUUGACAUGUAAUCAACUAGGUCGAUUGAUCGAUGAUUCGAUAUAAGUGUGGAUUUAUUGUGAUUCAAUGGUUCGAUAUGAUGUUGUGAAUUGAUUGAUUGAAUGGAAAUGACCGUGAGUGGUCUUGUUGGCGUGUAAUUGAUUAGGUCAAUUUGAUCGAUGCUUCGAUCAGUGAUGUGAUUGCUUGGGUGCCUAUUUGAUCUGUGCUAAUAUGCAGGUGGAAUCUGAGGCCAAGGUAAGUCCUUUGACUCAUGUUGUGCAUAGGCAGCCCUAAGGUGUAUUAGUUUACUAAUCGGGUUUUAGGGAGUAAAAUUUGCUGAGACGUAGUCUCAUCCCGGUUGUGGGACAACAUUUCAGGACCCUGAUGAGGAAUCUGAGGAGAAAGAACCCGAAGAGGAGUAUCUGGAGGAGAACCCCAAGGAUGAUCUAGAGUAGGAUCCUGAUGAGAAUUGAGACUCUACUCCUAUCUGAUGACUUUUGCUGUGGAACCUAAUUGAGUAGAAACUGACCUUUUUAGCAUGGCUUGUAUAUGUACAUGUAUGACUGAGUUGUUAUAUAUAUACAUAAGGGUGUUGGUUUUCAGGUUCAAGUUUAUAGUCCUACUUGUAUAUCCCAUUGCUUUAUUGUUUGGGGAUUUUUAAUACUGCUUCCGCAUGUGCUAUUAAAAAGAAAAGGGUCGGCGAUAUGUAGUCCUGGGAUAUCGCAUUUAAAAAUCGACCAAGGUAAGGGAUGUACGCGUGCCUGAGGAUUAGGGCGUGACAUGGGAUAGGAAGAAGCAGGAACCUAAAUCACCGCCAAAACACUUCUUUAUAAACACAUAAGGUUUAUAUACAACAUCAAUCUACAGAAGACCGUCUCAACAAAAAGGGAACUAUCCUAUGACCAGCUAGUCAGACACAUUCGUUGAUCCUUCGGUCUCCACAGGUUCCAUGGGCGUUGGGUCCUCCACCACACCAUCAUGAGGGUCUGCUGCACUCUCACCUAGAACGGCAUCUACUAUCACAGCGGGAACCUCAAAACCCCGAAGGGGACCCACACAAAAUUCAUUGGGUCCAAAGCGAAACCACACCCUAAAUCGAUGAGGUACCCUCUGAGGUAAACCCUCUUUGACCCAAACAGUGGUUACUACAAGUUCGUAGACCUAGUGACUUUCGGGAUCACGGUAGUUAAAAACCCGCUCGGUAACCCUCAUUGGCCAACAAAAACGCUCAGGAGGAGUAGCCAUCUACGGACCUGAAAAAGUUGAGCCGACGACGGGGUGAGAUAUUGUCUCAGCAAGUUCACCUUGUAAACUCCGAAUAUGAAGGAAAUAUGCCUAGAGGCCUAGCCACACAAAUUAGAGGACUUACCUUGCCUCAGUUCCUUCCUACAUGUCAGUAUAAAUUUAUAUUCAAUCAUUGCUUACACAAGCAUGAACUACCGACACACAUCGGUCUAUCAAUUCAAUCAAUCACUGCUCACAGAAGUAUGAACUACCGACACACAUCGGUUCAUCAAUUCAAUAAAUCACUGCUCACACAAGUUGACAUACACUAUUGCUCACCCAAGCUGACUUCUAUCAAUGCUUACACAAGCUGACAUAGAUCAUUGAGAUCAUUACUCACACAAGCUGACUUUUAUUGAUGCUCACACAAGCUGACUAAUCAUUGCUCUCACAAGCUGAUUUAUCUCAAUGCUCUCACAAGCUAACUUUUCAUUGGGCUCAAACGAGCUAUCCAAUCAAUACUAGUCACACAAGCUGCUAUGGUACUUAAAAAUCACAUUCGGUGUCAAAACCCGACACCUGGUAUUUUCGAGUUAAAUACCAAAACUUUACCAACAUCACUUAAUUUCACAAUAUAACAUUCAAUUACAGAAAUUAAACAUACCACUGCGAUCAGCUCGAAAUUCUAUCGAGUGGCUCUCCCGGUAUAAUUCCUGAAAAAUAUUAAUUAAUUAAUAAUUAAAUAAAUUUCAAAAAUUAAUUGAAUUUUAAAUAUAAAAUAAUAUUUAAUUUAAAUAAUUAAUUAAAUGAAAUAAUUAAUUAAAAGUUUAAUCAUGCUUACACUAAUCUAAUUGCAUAAUUAAACUAAUUAAUCUAUUCCCUAAACUAAUCAUUCAUCUAAUCUAAUUAACAUUUAAAUAAGCUAAUCUAACCACCUAAACAUGCUUAGCCUAAUCUAAACACUCCUUAAGCGUAAUUAACUCCCUAAGUAGAGUUUAGUGAGUAAACUCACUGGAUUAAUGUUCCGAUGAGUCCACGCCGACGGCAACGCCAAGGCGGGCGACAAACCUCCUCGCGGCGACACCAACCAAGGCUUGGAAGGGCUUGAAAACGGGCCUUGAAGUCUUAAGACCCUUGCUGUCUUCGGCCUUUGUUUGCUGGACCAAAGGGCUGCUCGAGCGGCUUGAAGUGGCGAGGAGGGACGGUGGAGGUUGCAGCGGCCUAGGCGGGUGACUCCAGUAGUUGACCGAUGGCCUGAGGAGCUCAGGGGACACGAUUGGACAUGAGAGAAGGCGCAGAACAACGGCUGGGUGCGAGGAUAGCAGACGGUGCACGCGGGCGAGCAGGCGCGAGUGGCGGCGGUCCGGUGGCCUUAGCUGGCUGUUCCCGGGGAUUGGACGGCGGCGGUGACUGCUCAGGCGACCUUGACAACAACUAAGGGGACUCGGGGGACGGUGAAGAGGUGUGGACUAGGCAGGAUGAGUGGGUGCAGCUCACUGGGCGUGACAGCGAGCGAAGGGCAAGUGAGCGGCGACAAGGGGCGCGACAGGCUUGGGCGGUUGCUUGGCUAAAGGGGGAGGAAGGCUGGCCGGUUUCUCUAGUUUUUCAAGCUCUCUAAUGACCUCAACAAUGGAGAAAGCCAAGCUUCAAGGAGGAAGAAGGCUCAGUUGAAGAGGGGGACCCCAAAGUGGCUUCUAAGGCCUCAACACUUGGCCAACACACUCAUCACAUGCCCCCACCAUGUCAGCCCACAUGCUCAGCCAAUUCUCUCUCCCCAAGUUUCCUCAAGAAGCUUCUUAAGGUGUCCAAAAUGUUGUGUCCCCCAUGGCCUACGAAUUUGGACAUUUACACAUCAAUUCCAUUCAAUUCCCAUUCAAUUCUCAUCCAAUUGAGCUCAAUUUGUUGUCCAAAAAUCCAACCAAGGUGCCAUCAUCCUAAUCAACCUUUUUCCUUACCAAUUAGUCCAACUUGAAUCCCAAGAAUGUGACAAAAAAUGGGCCUACGAAUUUCCCGAUCCAAAAUGCUCGUACUUUGGAUUUUUCGCUGAAAAUCUCGGUUUGUAGAAAAAUCUUUGGAGGGUGAGUCGACGUUCCUAAAAUGACUCGUGACAUGAUAGAACUUCUAAUUUUUGAAAUCGGGUUCAACUUCGCGGUUAAUUUCAUUCUAACAUGAUUUUAGCGCGUCCUAACCUACUGAGUAGCUUUUAGGAACUUUUCAUGCAAUUGACCCGUGGUUGAUUAUUUUCAAGCCACAAAGUACAUCUUCAACACAUUGGCGACUCUCGGUUAUCUUAAAAAUCUCGAGAUUUAUACAGGGUACCAAAACGACAGAGAAAUCGGUCUAGUGCCGAUCGACAAGAAUUUUGUAAUUAGGAGGAAUCACCCACACUUAAUCACAUACAUUUCUCGGGUUGACCUAUUUCCGGUCUCUAAUCAGUUUGUGCCGUAAUGACCCUUGCAGAUUAGUACAGUCGAGCAGUCGAUUCCUGGUCGAAUUCUUAAGUCUAUUGUGUUUCGAUUCCUUAACGGCUUCAUCCGGUAGGUUAGUUAUCUCAUGAGUGGCAUACUUAGAGAAAAGAGCUAUAGGCGCGUCGAUGAAAAGACCAACUCAUUCAAUUGAAAACAUAAUUGGAAAAUCAGGAUGUCACAACUCUUCCCCUCUUAUAAAAAUUUUGUCCUCAAAAUUUAAACCAUUACAAUUCCUUAAACAAAAAGGUGGGUGUACAGUCGUGUCAUCGACUCUUCACUCUCCCAGGUUGCUCCUUCAGUGCUGUGGUGUUGCCAGACCACUUUGACCAAAGGGAUCAUCUUGGUGUGCAGAACUUGUUCUUUCCGAUCCACAAUCUAAACCGGGCUUUCCACAUACGACACUCUGUCAUCCACGUCUAAAUCCUUAAAAUUCAGCAUGUGGGUUGGGUCAGGCUCAUACUUCCUUAACAUCGACACGUAAAAGACGUCAUGCACUUGUGCCAACCUCGGCGGUAAUGCAAGACGAUACACUAGGAUCUCGAUUCUUUCAAGAAUCUCAAAUGGACCUACGUACCUAGGACUCAGCUUUCCUUUCUUGCCAAAGCGCGAAGUAUCCCUCAUUGGUGACACCUUCAGAAAAAAGUGAUCACCAACUUGGAAUUCCAAAGGCCUUCGACGCUUAUCGGCGUAGCUUUUCUAGUGGCUCUUAGCGGUCUUUAAUAUGUCUCUGAUGACGGCAAUUGCAUCCACUGACUACUGAACUAACACUGGGCCUGUAAUCUUUCGUUCUCCGACCUCAUCCCAACACACUGGCGUUCUGCACGCCCUGCCAUACAACGCUACGAAAGGAGCCAUCUGAAUGCUCUGCUAGUAGCUGUUGUUAUAGGCAAACUCAACAAGAUGAAGCUGUUCCUCCCAGCUUCCCUUGAAAUCCAACAUGCAAGCUCGCACCAUGUCUUCGAGGGUUUGAAUUGUCCUCUCAGACUGGCCAUUCGUUUGAGGAUGAUAAGUCGUACUAUACUGCAGCUUCGUUCCUAAAGCGGUCUGCAAACUCUUCUAGAAGGCAGCUGUAAACCUCGGGUCUCGAUCUGAGGUCAUUUUCACUGGCACUCCAUGUAGACGAACAAUCUGACGCACGUACAACUCUGCGUGCCUGUCCAAAUCAAGGUCCUUUCAACUGCAAUGAAAUGAGCCGACUUCGUCAGUCUAUCGACCAUUACCCAAAUGGAAUCAUUACCCCUCUGACUCCUUGGUAAGCCUGUCACAAAAUCCAUUGUGAUGUGCUCCCAUUUCUACUCGGGAAUCUAGAGAGGUUGCAGAAGUUCUCACGGCUUAUAGUGUUGUGCCUUCACUUGCCGACACAUCAGACACUUGAUAACAUGCUUGGCGAUGUUCACUUUCAUACUGGACCACUAAUAGUAUUGACGUAGAUUCUGAUAUAUUUUCGUACUGCCAGGAUGAAUGCUGUAGCUGCUACGAUGAGCGUUCGAUAAAAUCUCUUCCUUGAGCGCUACACCGUCAGGUACACAUAAUCGUCCUCGAAACCUCAAUAUUCCGUUCUCAGAAACCUGAAAGUCAGCAUUCUUCUUUUCGGUAUUCUCCUAUAGAAUCUUAUGAAUCUCUAUGUCUGUCCACUGAAGCAUCUUGAUCUUUAUCUGCACUUACGAUUCAAUUCUGAGGGUGGCCAUAAGAUUCGAAAGGUGGCCUACCUCAAAUUUGAAACCCGAAUCUCGAGCUUUCUCAAGUAAAGCCCAUUCCUUGAGCACCAUAUGCGUGACUGAAGAUUUCCGACUUAGUGCAUUAGCAACUUUGUUUGCCUUUCCAGGGUGAUACAAGAUAUGACAGUCGUAAUCCUUCAAGAGUUCCAUCCAGCUACGCUGUCUCAUAUUCAAUUCCUUCUAAGAGAAUAAGUACUUGAGACUUUGAUGGUCAAUGAAGAUCUAGAAUCUUUUUCCACAAAAAUAAUGUCUCCAAAUCUUCAGAGCGAAAAUGAUUGCUGCGAGUUCCAAGUCAUGCAUCGGGUAAUUCAGUUCAUGAGGCCUCAACUGACGGGACACAUAUGCAACAACCCUACCAUGUUGCAUCAGCAUGCAACCCAGUCCUCUAAAUGAUGCAUCACUGUAGAUCUCAUAUCCUCCAGGACCAGAAGGAAUGGUUAGCAUAGGUGCGAUAGUCAGCUUCUGCUUAAGCUCUUGGAAACUACGCUCGCACUUGUCUGUCCACACCUCGAGUCAACGAUGACGCUAAAGCUGAAAACCCCUCUACGAACCUUCUGUAGUACCCUGCUAAAUCCAAGAAACUUCUGAUCUCUGUCACUGUAGUCGGUCUUGGCCUGUUGAUAACUGCUUCAAUCUUGGCGGGGUCCACAGAAAUUCCUUCGCCUAAAAUCACGUGACCUAGGAACGCUACACGAGUCAGCUAAAACUCGCACUUGCUGAACUUAGUAUACAACUCAUGACUUCGCAAAGUCUGAAGCACUAUCCUUAAGUGCCUUUUGUGCUUCUCGGGACUACUAGAGUACACCAUGAUAUCAUCAAUAAACGCGAUCAUGAACUGAUCCAGAUACUUUUUGAACACACGAUUCAUUAGAUCCAUAAAAGCAGCUGGGGCGUUCAUCAAACCAAACGGCAUUACAGUGAACUCAUAAUGGCCGUAUCGAGUACGAAACGCUGACUUCGGUAUGUCCUCAUUUCUGAUCCUUAGUUGGUGAUAUCCCGUCCUCGAGUCAAUCUUUGAAAAUAUCGACGCUCCUGGCAACUAAUCAAAUGAAACGUUGAUCCUUGGUAGUGGAUACUUGUUCUUGAUUGUCACCUGAUUGAGUUGACGAUAUUCGAUGCACAAACGCAACGAACCAUCUUUUUUCUUUACAAAGAAAACUGGUGCUCCUCAAGGUGAUGCACUGGGAUGUAUUAACCUCUUAUCCAACAAUUCCUGCAUCUGCAUCUUCAAUUCCUUCAACUCAGAUAAAGCCAUCUGGUAAGGAGCCUUAGAGAUUGGCUCUGUCUCGAGUGCUAACUUGAUCACAAACUCUAUUUCCCUCUCUAGCGGUAAACCCAACAAUUCCUUUGAAAGCACAUCCUGAAACUCUUGGACCAUUGAGAUGUCUUGAAUCUUCAGUUCCUCGACUGUCAUAUCCACGACGGUCGCCAAGUAACCUUGGCAACCCCCGUCUAACAAACAGGUUGCCUCAAGCGACAAGAUUAAGGUAAUCGAGGGUCCUCCUUGACUUCCAAUAAACUCAAAGCUCUCACCCCCUAACGGGUUAAACUGAAUCACUUUGCAAUAGCAAUCCAUCUUAGCUCUUUGCUUGGUAAGCCAGUCCAUGCCAAUUAUUACAUCAAAAUCAUACAUGACUAGGACUAUCAAGUUUAUCCUCCCCUCUUGCUCACCAAUCACUAACUUGCAACCAGAACAACCCCAUGCAGCUAACACCUUAUCUUUUAACGGUGUAUAUAUGCUAACCACUUACUCCAACAAUUUAGGACUCAAUCCUACCAGUUUAACAAACUGCUCAGCUAUAAAAGGAAUGAGUGGCACCAGGGUCAAAUAAAGCAUAUGCAGCAUAGUCAUUCAACGAGACCAUACUUGUAAUCACAUCAGGCGCAUCCUCAGCCUGUCCUCUCAUGAUAAAGUACAUCGUUCCAUGUGCCGGAGGUCGGUUCAGUCCACCCUGUGGUGCGAUUUGCGACGCAAACCCCCUAUUCUAACCCAUUGGUGGUGGUGGCGGUAAUUGCUGUGGUCCCCUCUGCUUUAUGGGACAGUCUCUGGCCAGGUGACCUUGUUGGCCACACUCAAAACAAGAUCCCAUCCUGAAAUGGCAAGGGACUGAUCCAUGUCGCCUUCCACACAAGCGACACACGGCAUUCUGACUUGGUGCUGACUUUCCAAUUCCACCCUUCCUGUUGGGCGGAAUAGGAUAUCUUCCUCCAGUCAUGGGUCUCUUCCCAAACCGGUUUCCGUCUCUGUUCGAACUAAACCUUGAACUAAAUGCAGCAGUCUGUUCACUCAAGUUCCUCUUAAUCAGCUAGGCCCGACCAUAAACUUCAUUAUAAUCCUUUAGGUCGAAUGGCACUAACGGAUUCUUCAGCUCUGGUCGGAGGCCAAUCCUGAACCUCCAAGCUUUCUCUUCUAGAUCCUCUAUUAGUCUUGGAGCGUACUGAGACAGCUCUAUGAACUUGGCUUCAUACUAAUCCACAGUUAGCAUGCCUUGACGAAGGCACUGGAAUUCCUCCAUCUUCUACUCUCAGGCGCUACCCGAAAAGUAUUUACCAUUAAAUGUUAUGAGGAAAGUGUUCCACACCGAGACUACGCCUUCAGGAAAUAUCGUGCCUCUGGUGGCUCUCCACCAAGUAUUAGUGUUACCCUACAGCUGGUAUAUUGCAAGGACAACCUUUUCCUCCUCACUGCACAUCAACAAUGCAAAAGCCUUUCCAGGUCUUGGACCUAGAGUGACACAGCUUCAGGAUCUCCUGCGCCAUUGAACCUCAGCGGGUUCAGCUUCAAGAAUUGCUCCACGAGCUUAUGAAUAGGCCUCUCUCGGUACAACUACAACCUCAAGCGGAACUUUCGCAGGAGAAGCAGCGGCAACAACGGCAGCAGUAGCGGCAGCUUGAGCGGCGACGGCUUGAUUCUGGGCCUGCUGUCCCAUCAGAUUUCUUAUCGCCUCAAGCGCUUGCAUGAUCCCUUUGAUUUUGGGAUCACCAAGGGCUACUACCCCAGCACCAACAGGAGGCAGUGCUACUCCACUAGCGCUGGCCUUAGCCUGCGCUCUACCACGGCCACCUCGGGUACCGACCCUGGCCGGCGUACUACCUUGAGUAACUGGACCUAUGGUCCUCUUUCUAGGAGUCCUCUGCUCCUGAUCACUCAUCUACAGGAUCCUUAUAGAUACAUGUUUUCCAAUUCCAAUACCAUAUUAGAAUUUGAGUGAUCCCACACCAAACAAUUUACCAUUCAGCUAACAAUCACAUGCAUCGGCAUGAAAUAGAGGUCGUUUCUACUUACUAUCCUAAGAAUCUAUCACACCUUAUCACUCCAACUAUCGACCAACUCUGACACCACUCCGAGGUGGGGAUGUCACGCCCCGAUCCUCAAGCACGUGUCCAUCCCUCAGUGGUCAAUAAAUUUGCAAUGUUCCAGGACGCGUCGCCAACCUAUUCAUUUUAAUACGCAUCCAAAAGCGAAACAAUACCCUUGACAACAAAUGCUUGGUGUCAUGCCUCGAAUGUCGAGCGCGCGCACAUCCCACUGCGAUCAAUACAAAUGUGACGUUCCUAGGAGCCGUCGUCGACCCAUUUAUUUUUAAUGCACAUACGAAAGCGAAACAAAUACCCCUAACAACAAACGGCAUGAGAUAGGAAAGUAGGGCACAUUUCACAAAAGCAUACUUUUAUAAACACCGGGUUUAGAUACAAAAAUGAGUUUGGUCAAAAGUCUACAAAAAGGUUGGCUCUCAAAAAGAUGUUGUCCUACGAUAUACUAGUUGGACACAUACGCCGAUCCUUUGGACUCUACCUCCAUAGACUCCGGGGUUGCUGGUCCUCCACGGCCACCAUCUAAGGACCUAAAAAUUUAGCCUACGACGGGGUGAGACAAUGUCUCAGCAAGUCCAUCCCCUAAACCCCUAUUAGGAAGGAAAUACGCCAUCAGGGCGCUCUAGCCACAUAACCACACAAUUAGAACAGAUAACUUACCUCGCCUCAGUUCCUUCCUGUACGUCAGCACAGUUCAUUUCACAAUUGCAUAUAAUUAAUGCAUAUAACAAUUGAAACACCUCAAUUACUCAAUAAAUCACAAGAGUCCCAAUUAUAAGGCCAAACCGUUAUGACACAUUCCGUACUAUGUCACACAGUCUUGUCUCAUAAUUAGACGCAUCAAACUCAAUCAAUCAUGCGUUCCAAUUGUUAAUUAAACCCCUCUAGGGUAUUGUUGACUCCCAUGUUUGGCGGUCUAUUGGCGUAACCAGGCAUCGUCCCUUCCCCAUUGAGCAUGGCUACGUCUCUCAUAGACGGCUUUCUCGAAGGAACAUAGGUCUAGAAUCUACUGCGACCCAAUACCCUAAUGCAUGGUUAACCCGAAAAGGGAUUUAGUAAUGUCCGGCGUAAAUGCUCGAGACGGAUUCUCUUUAACCAACACACGACCAAUCAAUCUCGGCCCAGGAUACUGUGUAUUGCACACAAAUGCCUAAAUUAAAAUAGUGAUCCUGGCCUAUUUUAUUCAUCUUAAAAACAUUCGGGAAAAUAGUUGUGUGUGGGUACACAAUCAAUUCGAACCAGAAAAACUGAUACAUUUUCUUUUCAAACCCCACUAUUUGAUAUAGUACUUAAAAUCCAUUUUCGGUGUCAAAACUCGACACCCGGGAUUUUCUGAUAAAUAUCAUAUUUUCACAAUCAUUACUUAAUUUGCACAAUCCAUCAAUCAAUUGCAUAAUCUGAACACACCAUAGCAGUCAGCACGAAAUUUCAGUCACCGACUAUCUCGGUCUAAUUUUCGAAAAAUAAUAAAUGAUUAAAUAUAUUUUGAAAUUAAAUUAAAUAAUAUUAUAUUAUAUUAAUAUAAAUUAAUAUAAUAAUAUUUAUAAAUUUGAAAUAAUUAAUUAUUUUAAAUUAAUUAAGGCCUAAUCAAGAUUACACUAAUCUAAUCACCUAAUUAGCCUUAAUUAAUUAUCCACUACACUAAUCACAUCCCUUAAUCUAAUUAAGAAUUAAUUAAACUAAUCUGACCACCUAACCAUGCUUAGCCUAAUCUAAACAACCCUUAAGCAUAAUUAACCUCAUAAGCAAGGUUUAGUGAGUAAACUCAUCGGUUUAGCGUUCCGGUGAGUCCAUGGCGACGGCGACACCUAGGCGAGCGACAAUCCUCCUAGUGACGACACCAAGCGAGGUCAGAAAGGGCUUGAAAACGGGCCAGAAAGACCUCACGGUUUGCUAGUUUUCUGCUUCUGUUCUUAGCUGAACUGCAGAGAGAGAACCAGCGGCUAAACGGCAAGGAAGGGCUGAUCGGAGCUCCAGCGAGUGGGUGGCCGGCAAUCGGCGGCACCUGGGGUCAAGGGGGGACGUGCUGGUGGUUGGGACGGGCGGUGGAAGGGUUGAAAUGGGGAGAAAAUUGUGAAAACUGCAAAAUAGUGCAAGCGGGUAAGGGAUCGACGGACCGGUAAGCGGCGGCUUGUUUCUGGCGGACGGGAUGGCCAGCGGCUCCGUUCGGCGCGAGGCCGGGCUCUUCCAUACGGUUUGGAUGUGAUGAGCACGGUGGUGGGUGGCACGAAGGCUGAUUCGCACGAGAAGGCAACUUUUAACUCAGAUUUUUGGAGAAAUGUCAGCUAGAGCAGAAACUAGAAGGAAGGAAAAUAGGGGAGGAAAGAGGGUUUGGUGCCUUUAGUGGUGGUCGACGGUGAAGGGGGCUGGUCUACUCGGUUUUCUCUACUUCUCUUGAGCUUCCAAGGAACCUCAACAAUGGAGAAAGGUGGGUUUCAAGGAGGAAGAAUGCUGUUGAAAAGAGGGGGUCCCCAAAGGCUUCCUAGGCCUUCAACACUUGUCCAAUUCUCCCAUCUCUUGCCCCCACCAGCCUUGGCCCUCAUCAGCCAUUUUCCUCUCCUUGGCUUUCUCAAGAAGCUUGCCAAAUGAUCCAAAAAGUUGUGCACCAUGGCGGCUACGAAUUUGUAACAUUUCCCCUUCAAUUCCAAUCAAUUCUCACUCAAAUUAAUCCAAUUGAAGCCCAAACAAAUCAGCCAAGGUGUCCUCGUCCAUCUUAUGAUUUUUCCCCAUCAAUUGAUCCAACUUGACGGCCAAAGUUGCGAUAAAAAAAUGGGCCUACCAAUUUCCCGAUCCAAAAUAACCAUACUUUGAUUUUUCGUCGAAAAUCUCGGUUUGCAGGAAAAUCUUCUGAGGAUGAGUCGACGUUCCUAAAAUUAUUUGUGACAUGAAAGAACUUUAUCGGGUUCAAUUCACGGUUAAUUUCAAUUUGGCGUGGUUUUAGCGCGUCCUAAUUUACAGGGUAGCUUUUAGGAUUUUUUGGCGUAUUUGACCUGUGGUUGAUUAUUUUCAAGCCACAAUGUACAUCUUCGAUACAUUGGUGACUUUCGGUUGUCAUGGAAAUCUCGAGGUUUCAAAUACGGAUACAAAGUACAGAAACGGCAGAAAAAUUGAUCUAGUGCCGUUCGACGAGAAUUUUGUGAUUAGGUGGAAUCACCCACAUACUAAUCACAUACCUCUGUCGGAUCGACCUAUCUUCGAUCUUUGGUUGAUUUUGACAGUGCCGUAAUGACUUUUGCAAAUCAGUAUGGUCGAGCAAUCGGUUUCUGGUUGAAUUCUCAAGUCAAUUGCGUUUAUAUUCCUUAACGGCUUCACCUGAUAGACUAGUUAACUCGUAAGUGACCAAUUAAGAGAAAAAUGCUAUAGGCGCAUCGAUGAAAAGCCCAUUUCAUCUCAUCGAAGACAGACUUGAAAAUCAGGAUGUUACACUUGGGAUAGGAAGAAGCAAGAACCCAAAUCACCACCAAAACACUACUUUAUAAACACAUAGGGUUUAUAUACAAUAGCAAUCUACAAAAGACCGGCUCAACAAAAAGGGAACUGUCCUAUGACCAGCUAGUCAUGCACGUUCGCCGAUCCUUCGGUCUCCACAGGCUCUGUGGGCGUCAAGUCCUCCACCACACCAUCAUGAGGGUUUGUUGCACUCUUGCCUAGAACGACAUCUACUACCACAUCAAGAACUUCAAAACCCUGAAGGGGACCGACACGAAAUUCAUUGGGUCCAAAGCGAAACCACACCCUAAAUUGAUGAGGUACCUUAUGAGGUAAACCCUCUUCGACCCAGACGACGGUUACUACAAGUUCGUAGACCCAGUGACUUCCGGGAUCACGGUAGUUAGAAACUCGCUCGGUAACCCUCAUCGGCCAACCAAAACACUCAGGAGGAGCAGCCAUCUAUGGACCUAAAAAUGUUGAGCCCAUGACGGGGUGAGACAUUGUCUCAGCAAGUUCACCCCCGUAAACUCCGACUAGGAAGGAAAUAUGCCUAGAGGCCUAGUCACACAAAUCAGAGGACUUACCUCACCUUAGUUCCUUCCUGCACGUCAGUACAAAUUCAUAUUCAAUCAUUGCUCGCACAAGCAUGAACUACCAACACACAUCGAUCUAUCAAUUCAGUCAAUCACUACUCACAGAAGCAUGAACUACUGACAGACAUCGGUUUAUCAAUUCAAUAAAUCGCUACUCACACAAGCUGAGGUACACUAUUGCUCACCCAAGCUGACUUCUAUCAAUGCUCACACAAGAUGACUUUAAUUUAAAUAUAAAAUAAUAUAAUUAAAUAAUAUUCAUUUUCGACCAACAUCACUCAAUUUCACAAUACAACAUUCAAUUACAGAAAUUAAACAUACCACUGCGAUUAGCUCGAAAUUCUAUCGAGCAGCUCUCUCGGUAUAAUUCCCGAAAAAUAUUAAUUAAUUAAUAAUUAAAUAAAUUCCGAAAAUUAAUUUAAUUUAAAUAUAAAAUAAUAUAAUUAAAUAAUAUUUAAUUUAAACAAUUAAUUAAUUAGAAGUCUAAUCAUGCUUACAUUAAUCUAAUUGCAUAAUUAAACUAAUUAAUCUAUCCCUAAACUAAUCAUUCAUCUAAUUUAAUUAACAUUUAAAUAAGCUAAUCUAACCACCUAAACAUGCUUAGCCUAUUCUAAACACCCCUUAAAUAUAAUUAACUCCCUAAGCAGAGUUUAGUGAGUAAACUCACUGGAUUAACGUUCCGAUGAGUCCACGGCGACGGCAACGCCAAGGCGGGCGAUAAACCUCCUAGCGACGACACCAACCAAGGCUCGGAAGGGCUUGAAAAUAGGCCUUGAAGUCUUAAGACCCUUGCUGUCUUCGGCUUCUGUUUGCUGGAACGAAGGGCUGCUCGAGCGGCUUGAAGUGGCAAGGAGAGACGGUGGAGGUUGCAGCGGCUUAGGUAAGUGACUCUGGCGGCUGAACGGUGGUGGCGCGGCUUCGACAGUGGCCUGAGGAGCUCGGGGGACGUGGCUGGAUGUGAGAGAAGGCACGAAACAACGGCUAGGUGCGAGGACAGCAGAUGGUGCACGCGGGUGAGCAGGUGCGAGUAGCGUCGGUCCAGUGGCAUUAGCGGGUUGUUCCGAGGACUGCACGGUGGCAGCAAUUGCUCAGGCAACCUUGACAACAACUAGGGAGACUCGGAGGACGGCGAAGAGGCGUGGACCAGGCGGGAUGAUCGGGCACAGCUCGCUGGGCGCGACGGCGAGCGAAGGGCAAGCGAGCAGCGACAAGGGGCGUGACAGGCUCGAGCGACUACUUGGCUGAAGGGGGGAGUAAGGUUGGCCAGUUUCUCUGGUUUCUCAAGCUUUCCAAUGACGUUAGUAAUGGAGAAAGCCAAGCUUCAAGGAGGAAGAAGGCUCAGCUGAAGAGGGGGACCCCAAAGUGGCUUCCAAGGCCUCAACACUUGGCCAACACACUCAUCGCAUGCCCCCAGCAUGUCAGCCCACAUGCUCAACCAAUUCUCUCUCCCCAAGCUUCCUCAAGAAGCCUCCCAAGGUGUCCAAAAUGUUGUGUCCCCCAUGGCCUACGAAUUUGGACAUUUACACAUCAAUUCCAUUCAAUUCCCCUUCAAUUCUCAUCCAAUUGAGCUCAAUUUGUUGUCCAAAAAUCCAACCAAGGUGCCAUCAUCCUAAUCAACCUUUUUUCUCACCAAUUAGUCUAACUUGAAUCCCAAGAAUGCGACCAAAAACGGACCUAUGAAUUUCCCGAUCCAAAAUGCCUGUACUUUGGAUUUUUCGCCGAAAAUCUCAGUUUGUAAAAAAAUCUUCGAAGGGUGAAUUGAUGUUCCUAAAAUGACUUGUGACAUGAUAGAACUUUCAAUUUUUGAAAUCGGAUUCAAUUUCGCAGUUAAUUUUAAUCUAGCGCGAUUUUAGCGCGUCCUAACCUACCGGAUAGCUUUUAGGAACUUUUCGUGCAAUUGACCCGUGGUUGAUUAAUUUCAAGCCACAAAGUACAUCUUCGAAACAUUGGCAACUCUUGGUUGUUGUGAAAAUCUCGAGAUUUCAAAUAUGGACACGGGGUACCAAAAUGACAAAGGAAUCCAUCUAGUGUCGAUCGACAAGAAUUUUACACUUAAUCACAUACCUUUGUUAAGUCGACCUAUCUUCGGUCUCUAAUCGGUCUGUGUCGUAAUGACCCUUGCAGAUUAGCAUGGUCGAGCAGUCGAUUCCUGGUCGAAUUCUCAAGUCUAUUGCAUUUCGAUUCCUUAACGGCUUCACCCGAUAGGUUAGUUAUCUUGUGAGUGGCCAACUCAGAGAAAAGAGCUAUAGGCACGUCAAUGUAAAGCCCAACUCAUUCAAUUGAAAAUAGAAUUGGAAAAUCAGGAUGUUACAGAAGACGAUACCAAGAAUGCACUGCUCCCAGUUAGAAUUGAAGACACAACAUCGAAAUUUGAUCGAAAACAUUGGACGGUGGAAACAACACCUAGUAGACACUGCUCCUACAUAGAUAUGAGGACACAACAUCGAAAUCUAAUUGACAACGUUGAACGGUAGAAACAACACCUAAUAGAUACUACUCCUAAAUGGAUAUGAAGACAUAAUGUCGGAAUUUAAUCGUCGACGUUGGACGGUGGAAACAACACCUAAUAGGUACUGCUCCGAAAUGGAUAUAAGGACACAACGUCGGAAUUUAAUUGACAACAUUGGACGAUAGGAUAGCAUAGGAAUCUAAUCAACAGCUCUACCUAGGAUAUAGACAUUCAUCACAAUUGAAUUUACGACGGGAAUCUACAGUUACAGCUAAACUAAACUAGGCUAAGAUAAAAGGGUAAGAUAAAGGAAUUUUGUGUGUUGCUCGGGGGUGGCAGGGGAGGCUCUCUAUUGGAUUGGCUACGGUAUUUAUGGGCCAAUUUGGCAAGUGUUGGUGGCCAGUUGUUUCCUCCUUAAAAGUCACUCCAUGUUCUUUGCUUAACCGCUUUAUCCAUAUCUCGUUGCCUUAUUACCUGUUCAGUAAGUAUUACCACUCAUUUUAUUUUGGCGCCUUUUCAAGCAUCAACCGUUCCUGCCCAAAUUUUGCCAUCAAUUUUAUUUGAAUUCUAUGUCUUCAACAUCAUCUCUUCGCUUGGACACAUGGAAAUCAACUACUUUAUCAUUGAAUAAUAUAUCUAUGCUAGUAGGCCCAUCAAAAUCUAGCCCAAGGUCUCUUGAAAUCCUUGGCCAUCCUCCGUUUUCAUGAGAGACAUGGGUUGGCCUGAUGUAGAUCACAUGCCGCGUGGCAGUGAGGAUGAUUUCAAAUAUUUUCAUCCCUUGUAACCAGCACAUGGUAAUAAGGGUAAUUUGAGUGUCAAUAUCCCAUUUAUUUGAUGUUUUAUCUAAUGGAGCUUUCACGUCGUAUGAAAUUGCAACUACCGGCUCUAAGAAUGGGAUAUGACGAGGUCUUUUGACCAUAAUUAAUGUGGGGAUCGGGACUAGGCGCCCCUUUUUCCCUCCAUCCUAGGGCAAGGGGUGAGCUUGACUGGCAGGUAAUUGCAUUAAAGUUAAUUAAAAAGGAACGUUGCGAUGAUACAAUAGGAGAUAAUUUGAAUGGGAAAUAAAAGUGUGAGGAUCCAAAACAAGCUUGUAGGUUUCAUUCAAUCGACCAAUGGAAACUUCACAAAUCAUUUAAUAAAGAGGAUUUAAUGCAUUUUCCUAGUACAUUUAGCAUUUCUAUAACCUCUAUGAAGAAGGCACCAUUUAAUAUUUUCGGAAGUUCUCAUCAAAUUUCUAAUCAUAACCCAAAAUAAAUAUCUUACUCAUGCAUUUAAUAUUGAACUCACUUGCCCGCAAACAUAAGUUAAAAAAAUUGAGAUUGCAUCAAGCUUGACUACUCGAUUUGGACUUCAAACCAAUUUCGUUUGAAAGGCCAAAAGAAACAAUCAAAAGUAGGUGAGAAAACUUUAACCCAAGACACGGCAGAUGUAGAAGGAAUUUUGUGGAAAGAGAGAAAAGAGUUUCCACAUAACUUUUCCUUUCAAUGUGUUUCAUGUUCAUAUAAAUAAUCGAUGGAGCCACUAUUUGUCAAGAAUAUGAAGGCUUUAUUCUAUAUCUAAGAUUUAAAAAAAAAUAAUAAAAUAUAAGAAGAUGAGUGUUGAGAGCGCACAACAGUAGAUGACAAGAAUAUCACUGCUCGGUCCUCUCGUGAUUGAUGGCAAAUAUAAGGCACCAAUUUGUUCAGUCUCUAGUGUUCGGUCAUUGUUUCCAUGGAAUUCGUAGAAUAUGAGGCACCAAUAUUAAUAUUGCUUUCUAUUCCCUCAAUUUUUUAAAGGAGUGUCCUAUUGGACAGUGCUAUCUUAUAGAUUACUUUUAAUCUACCAAACCACAUGGCAGAUUAGAAGUGAAUAAUAAUCCAUAUUCGAUAAUUAAUGACAAUAAGCCACGCCACUUAUUACACAAAAUUUAUUAAAUAUUCUUAGUGUUUUUGACAUUUCUCUUUCUUGUUUUGGUUGUACAAGUGAAAACUAGCGAGACGUUGAUAAAUGAAUGACACCACUACAUGCACUAUGACUUUACUCAAAUUUGCUAAAUGAAAUGGUUUGCAGUGUGGUAUGCACCCAUUCAAGUUUGUUUGACAAUCAAUCCGAUGAUGCGUACCAAAUAGACAAUCCACUUGAUCUAGAGGUGGUCUUAUGGAUUCACGAGGUGAUUUUUGCCAUAGCACUUUGCUUUACAAGAUUCAAGAAAUAACUCCCAAGGGGUAGGACUUUGUCCCCCAUGACACUUAGUUACAGGGGUGGAAAAAAAAAAAAGAUCUAAAGAGCGAGUUGGCUCAGAUCAAAUGGCCUACAUUUUCAUGUCCGAAGAGGGCCGACAUGUGAUAUAGGACUCCCCCAUAUUCUUUUUCGGGCCGGUCCGCAUUUUCAGCCUGGCAUCCUCAGGAUCUCAGGCUUGAAAUGGCUCGGACCGGUCAAACUGUAUAUUAGAACUAGAAAAAAUUAUAAUAUAAAGAUUAAUAAUUAAUAAUAGAAAAUAUGUUGUUCAUAUUCCGAACACUUUAAUAAAGUCAUAAGUAAGUUAAAAUAUAAACAUAUAAUAUUUUUUUCCAGGCCCAAAGUAUAAUAACUAAUCUAUUUUUAAUUCAUAAAAAAUAAAAAAUCGAGUAAAAAAAACUAAGUUAUAAUUUUUUUCAACAAAAAGGCUUUCUAGUCUCUCUGUCCCCUCGUCUGUACUAUGAAUAGUUUAUUGUAUUAAACAAUGUCAAGAGGUCAAAAUACUUUUCACAACAUGAUCCAGAGCAUUAGUGAAUCGAUUAGUCUAUUCUAAUGCGAAAAUCACUCAUAAUUUUCUUGGAUCUGAGUGCACGGGGAAUGCAAUCUCUUUUCAUUUUGGAAGCAAAAAGCUUUCCGCGUGAUUCACGCACAUUUCUUUUGAGGGGCCAAAGGAAAUUCCCAAGUGCUUUUUUGAUGACUUGACCAAGAAAAGCAUCGGACUAAUUGCACAAUGUAUCGCCCUCAAGAAAAAUAAAAUUGACAUUCGCUUUAGAUAAAGAUCAUGAUCCACGUACAUCACAUCACGGAUUAAAGAAAUUAGAAGUAAAAUGCUUUUGCUUUGCUUUCACAUUUCUAGAUUGAAAAGAUGCCAAAACUUAUUUCAUUCGACUAAAAAAAAGAAGUUUGUUGGAUGACUUUUCCAUCCAAAAAGAGAUUUUGUGGAAAAUCUUUUCCUUUUGGAAAAGGAAAAGAAAUAUAUUAUACAAAAAAGUUAGUUGAUUUGUGAUAAUGAUUUGAUCUUUGUGUUUAUAUUGACAGAGUAAAUAUCAUUAAACUAUCAUUAAACGAGGGUUUUAUUCAUUUUUCUAGAGGUCAUCCGGAGGAGGGUCAUUGUUAAUAUAAGCCACCGACUUGUUCGUCAUGUGACCUCAGACAUUUCAAAAUAGUUUACUAUAAAUUGUAUAGUAUGAAGUUGACCCCUUGAAUCAUUUAUAAGUUGUAUGCAGAUCAUCUUCAAAACUAAAAUCUAUUUGAUCAUCCUUAUAAAGUUCAAAUAUGUUCAAUACCUUUAUGGCCUCAUUAUUUCUUGUGCUUGCAUUCAAAAGAUGUGAAGAGCUUCAAGGAUCGUCGACCAUACUUCAGUGGCAUCUUGAGAGGAUUUUUCAAAGGACAUCUGUUAGAACAAUAUAAUAAGUUAAAUUUUUCUUAUUUGAUCCAACCCCAUUUAUGUUUAUUUCCCCUUCUAAUAUAAUCUUUAGUUUGAUUGAUGGCUUCACACCUGUUAAUGAUAUGUCGCAAGCCACACAGCCGCCUUGUCAUUUAGUAAGAAAUUGCUAGUCAAGUACAUGUAACAGUACUCUUGAAAUAUUUGUCUCAUUAUGCCCACUAAAACAAUACAAGACACUUUAUAUGUUGGGGCAACAUUAAAUUGCUAGUCAAGUACAUGUAACAGUACUCUUGGAAUAAGCGUUAGUUUGUAAAAAGGGUAUAAGUGAUAAAUGGGGCAAGAUCAAUUUAAGGAAAUUUUGUCAGUCUUGUAUAAUUCCCUACAAUCUGUAAUAUGCUUUCUUGGCCAUACUUUUUGGUCAUACUGGUGAUGAAAAUGCCUGUAUAACCCUUAACCUCAGCUCUAUGAGGAGAGGUGAUGUUUGAGUAAGAGGCAAAGUCGGAAGAAGAGAAAUUUUCCCAAACCUCUACUAUGUUCUCCCCGAUGUUCCUAUAAAUCUUUCUUUUUCUAGGUCUAGUGAUAUUGGAAGGAUAAUAUUCCAAAUUUGAUUGGAUAAAACGAGUCGGUUCAACAAGUAUGCUCUUCAUUUGCUACUCAAAUCCUAUGAAUGAGAAAGCUUUUUCCAAAGGCCAUAAAGCCUUAAGAUGAGGGCUAAUGAUAUCUGAAGACCAUCAAGCAGUUUCAUUUAAGGACUAAAAGAGAGAACGGCGUGUGCAUUGGGAUGAUAUACAUGUCCAAUUUCAUUAGUCUUCCUCUUAUUUUAUCGUCGCAUGCGUUGUUAGCUUAUUCGAUUUCUCUUUUUUCAUUUUUCCUGUUGGGUAAUUGCUGUUAGUUAUAUGCCUUUCCUGUUGGGAUAACUCACGUGUCUUGAGUUCAAAAUCGGGUCUUGAGUUCUGUUGGGUAAUUUCUCUCAAUCAUUACGUAAUUGAUUGAUGGGAAACAUGAGACACCAGUUAUUAGAUUAUGUCUUGAGUUCGAGUCUCAUAUGAAAUCCAACUCAUCAAGAGGAUUUUGAUUUGUUCAAAAUCGGGUGUUCCCUUUUGAUCAGUAUCAAAUCUUGAUUUGUUGGGCGAUGGUACUUAACUAUUAUAUUUAUUGAAGGUUUGGUUCUGUUGAAGAUAAAUAUCCACGUCGGACUCCACCGAAGGCGUACGGUUUUGGGCCUUAUCUAUAUAUCCUGAGGAAGAUGGACCGAGAAAAUCUAUAUUUUAUAUUCCCCCACAAGAGGACUCUCUCUCUCUCUCUCUCUCUCUCUCUUUAACGAAGAAAGAAAGGGACGCACAGCGACGCUAUCUUUGAUCGCUUGGAUGAGUUCCAAAAACAUGGAUUUUGUGGCGAGAGUUCUACAUCCAAUUAAAAUAUUUUAUUUGUAAGCACUUUGGAUUUGAAUGUAAUUAAGGUGCGGGAAAUAUUCGAACCUGUGAGUGAUUGUAAGUAUGUGAUUCUUCGAUUAUCAAUGGAUUAUUUGCUAUUGACUCCUUCAGCAGAAUAGGUAUCGAGAGUUCUUUAUAGUUACUAGUUUAUUUUUCUGAUGAUUUCACGUUGAUUUAAUUAUAAGCUCCGGUUAGUUUCAGCGUUAUUUUAUAAUAAUUUGUUCAGUCUUCGGUGUUCGGUCUUCAGUCUUCGGGAGAGAGAAGGCAAUAUUUAAGGAAAGAAGCAAUAUCUUUAUUUGGUUCAGUCUUCAGUCUUCAGUCUUCGUCCGCAUGGACUACGUGGAAUAUCAGGCACCAAAUGUCUAUUCGGUAUUUUCUCCCUUUCUUCUUUCUUAUUACCUUAUUGCUUUCUCUCUCCCCAACUUUUUAAGGUGCUUCCCAUCGCACAAUGCUAUGUAAUAUAUUAAUAUUUACAUACUAAAUCAUAUGGCAGAAAAUAAGUGGGCGAUAAGCCAAAUGCAAAAUUAAUAGCAAUAUGCCAAAUCAUUUAUUAUACAAUAUUUUUAAAUUAGUCUUAGUGUAUUGAAAAUAUUAAUAACAGUAUUCAUUUAUGACGUGAACUAAAAUAAUGAUUCGUAAAGACAACUAACCCAUGUACCGGAUGAUCAGCAGCCACCUUGACAGUCAAGAUGCUACGCUUUACACCCUAUGAUUUCUAUUGUUUCUUGGAGUGCGUGGAGAGCACGCUGUUCGAAGCCUUAAGAGCAUGUCCAUAUAUCCUCGAGACAGAGGACAUAAAAUAGAGGACUAUAGAAAGUUCGGAUGAGCUUCCGGAACUCCCAUGGUGAGUUUUUGAAUAAUUGAGUUGCACAAGACAGAGGCGUUAAAUGCACCUAAAACUGAGAGGGGGUCACUGGAGGAGAUGGGCAAACAACUAUUUCUUGUGCUCAACUUUGCCUUCUUGUGGUGGUGGAGCUCAAUCCUUAGCUCCGGGGCUUGCUCGCAAAACCAAACGGAUCGGUUUGCAUUAGCGUCCUUCAAAAGCGCAAUACAUGAAGACCCAUUUGGAGUCUUGAGCUUUUGGAAUGAUUCUACCCCUCAUUGUGAGUGGCAAGGUGUUUUGUGUAGCAAAAGGCAUCUUGGGAGGGUCACAUCCUUGGUCCUGAGAUCACAAGGCUUGAGAGGCUUCCUAUCUCCUCACAUAGGUAACCUCUCUUUUCUAAGGGUCAUGGUUUUACAGAAUAACAGCUUCCACGGUGAAAUCCCACCACAGAUAGGCAACUUGCUUCGACUUCGUCUUCUUAUUCUUAGUAAUAACUCAUUUGGCGGGCCAAUAUCCUCCAACCUUUCCUGCUGCUUGAACCUCAAGAUCCUGGAUCUCAUAGAUAAUCAGCUUGUGGGGAGAAUUCAUUCCGAUCUUGGUUCUUUAACAAGGCUUAAAUUAUUGGGCUUGUCUGAGAACAGUCUCGUAGGUCCUAUUCAUCCUUCGAUCGGAAACCUCUCGUUACUACAACAAUUCUCCCUAGGAAAAAAUGCGUUGCAUGGAGAAAUACCUGAGGAAUUGUCCAGACUCAAAAGGUUGGUAUUUUUACAACUCUCAUUUAACAAACUAAUUGGCGAGAUCCCACGAGGAAUUUUUAACCUCUCCGACAUUUGUUACUUCUCUGUCGGUUAUCAGUUAUUGACCGGGACGAUUCCGUCUGCUAUUGGCACCACUCUUCCUUCUCUCCGUUACCUUGGAGCCCCUGACAACCUGUUAAUUGGGACAAUUCCAUCAUCAUUAACAAAUGCGACCAGCCUUCAAUAUCUUGCGCUUCACGACAAUAGUUUCCAUGGGCCAAUACCGAAAGAUCUGGGAAGGUUAAAGGGCCUUCGCUUGAUUGGUUUGGUACAUAACCAGUUACGGGAUGACUUAAGUUUUAUUUCUUCUUUAGCUAAUUGUUCCCGCUUAGAAUAUCUCUCACUGAACUCGAACUUGUUUCACGGAUCAUUGCCGAGAUCCAUCUCCAAUCUCUCCAGCAUUAAGGGAAUUUAUAUGUCAAACAAUCUGAUCCAAGGAACUAUUCCUUCAGCCCUAGGAAAUCUCUUCAACUUGUCUACGUUGAGUUUAGACUAUAAUUUUCUGACCGGUCGCAUUCCUGAUUCCAUCGGAGCACUUUACAAUAUGCAGCGUCUUUGUUUUCCCGGAAACAUGUUUACUGGAGUGAUACCGUCUUCAAUUGGUAACAUGACGUUGUUAAAUAUCCUUGACCUCGAGUCCAACAAUUUCCAAGGCUACAUACCGCAGAGUCUUGGCAACUGUAUGCAAUUGAAUGCGCUCGAUCUUUCAAACAACAACCUAAUUGGCUCGAUUCCAAUUGAAAUCAUGGGUCUUUCUUCCUUGUCAAUCAUCUUCAGUUUAGCGCAUAAUAAUUUAAGUGGAUCUCUUCCACUGCAAGUUGGAUCUUUGAAGAAUCUCGCCGAAUUAGAUCUAUCUUACAACAGAUUGACAGGCUUGAUCCCAGAGUCCAUCAGCGAGUGCUUGAUAUUGGAAUGGCUUCACUUAGAGGCUAAUUCUUUUCAUGGUCAAAUCCCCAAAACUUUACGUCCGUUACGGGGUCUACGAGAGCUGGAUCUUUCCAAUAAUAAUUUUUCAGGUCCAAUCCCAAGCUUUCUUGCAGAGCUCUCACUGCUUGAGUACUUGAAUAUGUCCUUCAAUGAACUAGAAGGACGGGUUCCGGAGGGUGGAAUUUUUCUUAAUGCAAGUGCUGUAUCAGUUUCCGGAAAUGAACGACUCUGUGGGGGUGUUCCGCGUCUAAAGCUUCCUCUUUGCAAAUCACCAAGCUCUAAGAAGUCUUCCACAACCAAGACCAUGGUGAUAUCGAUUGUAGCCGUCAGUUUAUGUUUAGCUUUGUUGUUCCUAUCUAUCUUUUGUUACUGCAAAAAGAAGCAUAAGAGAAUUGAUGCCUCGACAUCAUCAUCCUUCGAGCACCAAUUCUUGAGGAUUUCUUAUGAAGAACUCUUGAGAGCUACUGACAGAUUCUCCGAGACCAAUUUAAUUGGUAAAGGGAGAUACGGCAUAGUUUAUAAGGGGAUUCUUGACGGUGGUGUCACGAUAGCAGUGAAAGUGCUUAGUUUAAUGCAAAGAGGUGCUUUGAGGAGUUUUGUCUCCGAAUGUCAAACUCUAGGAACCAUUAGACACCGUAACCUCAUAAAGAUACUAAGUGUUUGUUCCAGCGUGGACUUUCGUGGCAAUGACUUCAAAGCUCUAAUAUACGAGUUCAUGGCUAGUGGAAGCUUGGAGGAGUGGUUGCACCCUAGGAGUAUCGAACGAGAUGAUGAGCAUGGCGAAUUGAGAAAUCUAAAACUAAUGCAGAGGUUAAACGUCGCCAUCGACAUAGCCAAUUCGAUCGAAUACCUCCAUAAGGGCUGUUCUCUAGCAAUCGUCCAUGGAGAUCUGAAACCGAGUAAUGUGCUUCUAGACAAUGACAUGGUGGCUCGAGUUGGAGAUUUCGGGCUUGCAAAGGUCAUUUCAACAGUGUCUGUCGAAGCCACAGGAGUUCAAGAUCUAGGCAGUUCAACUUCAAUAGCAGUAAGAGGAUCCAUUGGUUACGUGCCUCCUGGUAUGUAUUUAUCAUAUUUUCUCGAUUAGUUUUUGGUUGAUUGCGAUAGUAAUAUGAGAGAAAGUCAAAAGUUUGAAUAAACAAUGAUUUGAUGUUAUGUUAUGCUUUGUAUGCUCUGACACCUAUUUUUCCUAACACAAUUUCCUCUUUCUCCUAUUAAUAACUUCAGCCGAAAAAGAAAUUACUUAUCUUUCUCUCGUUCGUUUUUUAUCCAGUAUCAUGUUCAUGAUGUGAAAAUGGGUUGUGUCUAAUAUUGUCGUAUAGUCAAUUACAGUACAAGAAAUUGACGAGAAUUCACGAUUCUCUUAUGCCAUGACUUAAGAUCUUGACAAUAAGUAAUUGACCGCUUACCGUGGACCUUUUCCUAUAUAGUAUGAUAUAUGAAUUAAACUAAAUCCAGAUCAUGAAAAUGAGGAGCUUCAUGUGGAUCUUAUGUGCGUUCAGUCACAACCAAUGGUUUAAAUUUAGUUGACACAUGUAGCAAGUUCACUAAAAAAUUUCUCCCAAGGCCUUCAUUUCAUGUAUUUUCUUCCUUUUCUGUUUUCGCCUGUACCCUGCUAGAGCACAAAGUCAUUAUAGAUGUUUAGGCAAUUUGUUUAGCAAACAGGUGACAACUUUGGGUGCACUAAGUAGUUUUGGAGAAAGAAAAUUUCAUAUCUUGUUAACUGAUCUUUUGUGCACUUUAUAAAUCCUAAAAUCUCAUUUCAUUACAGUUGAUACAUUCUGACUUUUGUGACAUUUUUUACCACUAAGCAUGCGAUAGGCGCUAAAAAUUAUCUAUAGCUAAUAAACCUAGUGAAAGUCAAACAAAGAGUACGAAAUUAAAAAAACCAGCAAGGGGUCUGUAACUCUCUACCUUGCUUCGACAAAGGAUUCCCUGGCCUCUACCGUGCACGGAGAGCCCGACCGUGGGGUGAGUGAGGGCUUGCAAGCCAUCGCUCUAUGUUGGGCGCGCGACUGGCAGGAGUCCUCACAAUUGUCUUGGCAAGCUCUUGCAAGUAGACACCAAGCAAAAUCCCACGUGAUCCAGGAACUUCUUCUAUAAAUUAAAUUCGAAAGAAAGUUUUUGUUCAUUCUUAUUUAAUGUAUUGAUGAAAUUCUCAGAGUACGGCAUGGGACAAAAGGUUUCCACACUUGGGGAUACAUACAGUUACGGCAUUCUAUUAUUGGAGAUGUUCACUGGGAAGAGACCCACCGAAGAGGCUUUUGAGCAUAGUCUUAACCUUCAUAGCUUUGUCCGAAUGGCUCUUCCAGAUCGAGUGAUGGACAUCGUAGACUUAAGACUUUGGAGUGAAGCUGGUGAUCAACAACAGGAGAUUAGGAUCAGAGACUGCAUUAUCUCUGUAUUUGAAGUCGGAGUUGCAUGUUCGAUGGAAUCACCACCGAAUCGGAUGAACAUGACUGAGGCGAUCAGGAAAUUACUUUUGAUCAAGGCAAGUUUUGAAACCAAGAGAUGAGGACAGGUCUGUAGCUAAAGUCAGUUUUCUUGUUUCAUCUUGAAACUCUUUCACUAGUAGAGAAAAUCAUCGUGCAAAGGUAGUGUUAGGAAAUUGACAUGAAUGUCUCCUUAACUAGUCUAUCUACCCAUACCUAUUAUGCAUAAAUUACAUCAAUAUCUUUCGUAGAAAGUGGAUGUAUGGGGUUAUAGUCUUCCUACUUCUACCAAGUGACCAUGUAAAAUGUGAUAAUUUGCUUAUCUGCAUGGUUCUCUUCAUUUCUGAUGCCAUUGUGGAUCGAUGCAUUGCUUAAUUACCAUGGAUGGGCCAUUGCCCUCGCAUCUCUCUCUCCACACGCGCUUGUGUACGAGAAUGGGACCUCACGGUGAGGUCACAAAAUCAAGGCCAAUUCUUAAUGUCGCGAUUAACCAAGAGUCUACCGUCAAUUGGAGACCAAGCUUGAUCAUCCAAUAAAGAUAUAGAGUUAACAAACACGUAAAUGGGACAAGAUCAAAAAGGAAACAUGGACGCAUAUUUAUUGCACUCCUCGUUGUGCUUAUCACACUGUCUAACGAUCCAUGUCAAGUCUUCCCACUCAACCAACCCUCCCUCUUUUCUUCACCAUUAGCCACCGUCUCCAGCCGUUUGUGGUCACCUAUCAUUAUCGUCGUCUCCUCCUUGUCUCAUCAGUAUCUCCGUCAUAUCAUCCACGACCAUCUUUACUUUCUUUGAUUGCUGACCCAAAACACUCUUCCCUCACUCUGCCUUUUCUCCCACUGCCAAAUCUCUGAGGUCUCAGAACCACCAUUGAUGAUUUGUUUUGGCCAUCCUGGCCCCUGAGAUCUCACCGAAAUCUCAAUGGACAGGCCAGAUAUGGUGGAGGCAUCCCCUGAUCUGGAGACGUCCUCUAAUCUCAUCAUCGACAACUUAAUUGUAGAUGACUAGAGGAGCUUGAAGCGAGUUCUUGAGACCCGCUGAAGGCAUAAACUUUCUCGACCACCCUUUAACGAGAGAGGGAGAGAGGUUGUCACGCCCCGGACCUUCCCUCAUCAUGGAAACGCAACAUCCACCACAAGAUUAAUUUGUGACGUCCCAAGAGGCGUCACCGGUCCAUUAAUUUUUAUCUUUCAAUUAAGCACAUGUGGAAGCGUACGACUCAAUCACUUGAUCAAUAACAACAAAUGGAUAGUAAGGAAAACACAUAUAUACUACACAACUUAUAUAUGCUUCAUUAAUAUAUUGGAACUUUAUAAUUACAAACCCACUUCUUUAGGGCCAUUGCGAUUUUCGCCCCAUGCAAAAAGAUACAGGGGACGGUUAAAGGGGUUCACAAGCUUCAGGGUGAGCUAAUCUCCACUAGCGAGAUACUAACCAAAAGUGGCUCCCCUAUGAGGACCAACUACUUAAGCAUCACCUACUAGAUUGUCUGGUGAGCCAUCGUCCUCGUUUAGUCUGAGCGAACUACAGAACUCAUGGAGGGGUCCGAAGAGAUCCCCUUCGAACCAUGCGUCCUAGGCCUAGUAACUGUGAGGGACGAGAUCAUUAUAGCCCCCUCUACCCAGACAAUUAUAGUGAUCCUUCAAAAUACGGUAUCCUCCCUAAACACGUUCAUCAUCGUGACCUCCAUACUCAUGGGUACCCAAAAUCGCAUGAAGCGAGUAGGUGGUGGAUUCAUACCGAUUGGCCUGAAAAAGGUUAAGCAACAAUAAAUGAGUUGAAAGGAGGACUCGGCGGAGGAAGAACAAGCAGAGAGAGAGAGAGAGAGAGGGUAACGGAGCCGUCAAAGAAACGAGAAGGUAGGAAGCCGGGGUGGGGCCCAGCGUGUACACGUGUCGAUUCCCGCGUCGCUCGUUUCCGUACUCCCCCUCCACCAGUGACGUGCCGAGAAGAACAGCCAAAACCAUCUCCUCCUUCUUCUUCUUCUUUUGUAAGGUGUCAGGGGACGCCGCCGUCUAUGGCUUCUUGUAGUGGUCAUCGCCGUCGCCGGAGAGAAGGUGGAGCAGUCGAGCGGGAGGCCGUGACCGGUCCUCCUCGUCGUGGGAGCCGUUGCUUCUUCAAGUUCAUACUCUCCGGCGCGCUUGACUCUGGAAGCUCGUGAGUCGGUCAAGUCUUCGCACUCUGUUUUAAGAGUUUCUCGCGCUCUGUGCUGUGUACCCAUCAACCUGGAAAACGGGCCCGCGCGUUUGGUUUGGAAUGAACGAUGAACUUUUCACUUCCAACUUAAGAAAGAACAACUGGGAAUUCUCUAACACGGCUGUCGAUCGAGCAAAAUUUCUCCUUUUUCGUACUUCGAUGAUAUGAAAGUCUUCAUCGGACGUGCGACCAGUUGUCCUAAACCAUGGUGAUGGCGGGCCUCAUGGCUGCUGCCAUGUCUUCUGCUAAAGUUUACUUUUUUGUAUAUAUAUUUCACGAUUUGGGUCGAUAUGGGUUUUCGGACUAUAGUGUUAUGUGCAUGGUUCAGGUUUCCACAACAUCCUUUGAACGUUGCUAUUCGGAAAAGAAGAGUAAUUUCAUGGAUACACAGAGUUAACUUACAGAUGUUGAUAUGACAAAAGUAAUGGGCUUUUCCUACGGUGCCUGGCUUGUCCAAUGAAGCAUCCAUCUCUACAAAUCGAUCCACAACUAUUUCGGAGUACACUUGUGGAAACUGAUCUUUCAUUCAUGUUGCAGAAUUUAAAAUUCCUUAGAUCUUUUUUUUUCCCCUGUUCUCUGCACUUUGGUUUGACUAUGAUGAGUUAUUAUGAUGGACCCGUAAACCUUUUCAUAAUAGGGAAUUCCAAAGAAUUUCUUGAGAAGAUGUGGGAAGGAUCUCUCAAACUCGGUGCUUCUUAAGGUCCCUGACGGUUCAACCUGGACUAUAGAACUAGAAAAGCGUAACCAUGACAUGGUUUUGUUGGGGAAAGGGUGGCGGGAAUUCAUGGAGCAUUACUCCAUUGGUCAUGGUCACUUCAUAGUUUUCAAAUAUAAAGAGAACUCCACUUUUCGCGUAAUAAUAUUCGAUAAGAGUGCUUCAGAGAUGGAUUAUUCCUCGAGCAGGGGUGAAACAUCAUACCUUGGGAGCGAACUUCCCUCGCCAGAAGCAGAAGAUGUUGUAGAAACAGAUCGUCUGGAGGAUGUCAAACCCCGUCAAAGAAUGAGGAUGGAGCCACAUUUACCUUGUUCUCAGCUAAGUCCGAGUUUCUCACCGCGAGGGUCUGAAGGUGUGACUCUUCAUUUUAGAAGUCACGUAUAUUCUUGCAUCACUCUCUUUUGUUAGUUCUUUUCCAAAAAUACUUGUGAACUUUUUACAAUCUAAAGCCGCUAAACUGAUAUGGUAUCAUUAGAUGAAAAAAAAGGCCUCUGCUAUGGAACAGAGUAGCUUUGCUAUUUCUAUUUGUAGCCAUGGGAAGUAGGUGGAUUGAUUUUAUCCCUAUCCCUUGUUUUGGAGCUAAGUGGAAGCUGGUCUCCUCCGUAUGUAGUUUCCAUGGAUACUGACCCUGAAGAACCACAUCUAGCUCAAGCUCAAGCUGGCCUGACAGAGAGGAGUAAACAGCCAACAUGCGGAGCGAGUCAUUCUGAGCUGGAUUUUCAUGGUCCUAUGCUUCCAAGGCCUCUCACUACUCCUGAAUUAACCCGCAAAAUUAAUUCCAAAUAUCCCUUUUUCAUAAAGGUGAUUAGGCGAUCUUAUAUGAGUAAACUGGUAAGUCUUGAGCUCAUCACGAGUAUAGUUCAAUUAUGACUGCUGGUACCUACAAUGCCAUGAUCACAUUAAUUGUGAUGUCCACCUAUUUGAGAUUUUUUUCUCCCAUCCAUAUAGUGUUUAUGAUAUAAUACAGUGGAUUACUACAACAAUACUCAUUCCAGGGAUUUCUCAUUCCACUUAAAUAAUUUCAUGUCUUGGUUGUUCAAACAUGUGCAUGUGCAGAGUAUUCCAGGUGGAUUCAUCAAGCAGCAUAAGCUGGAAAAGCAAAGAGCAACUCUAAGGCAUGCCAACAGAUCAUGGUCAGUGAGGCUUGGCGGGAGCAACAGACAUGUCAGAGGGGCUUUGUGUCUGUUCUUUUCUGCUGGUCGGGAUGCAUUUGCAAGAGAGACUCAUCUGCACGUAGGACAUGUCUGCAUGUUCAAGCUAAUUGAUAGGGAUGAUAUUGUUUUCGAAGUCUCCAUUUUGAGUGGUGAGGACUUGAUUUACAUUUUUAAAAAUGAGUACUUGAGGUGUAACUUUAGGCUGUUUAUCGCAUGACUUGCAUUCUGGGUUUAUAAUUAUGCCUCCCUUAUUUGGUUGUUGUGCCUCUAUGCCAUUUUAAAAUAUACUCGUACGUUUUUAUAAGAACUUUGUGUGUCGAUUAGUAUUGUAAUAAUUGAGGCGGCAUUCUAGUUGAUUUGUCACUUCCGAUGUGAAGAGCACUCAUGUCAAAUUUUCUGAAUUUUUCAUUUCAUGGUAAUCAUAAUUUACAAUCUAGGUCAAUUGAAGAAACGCUCACAUUAAAGUCCUUUUAUUCUCAGUUCUUCGCGGGAACAAACUGUCCAAACGCAGAGUGAAUCAUCAUGAGCUGGGUAUUCGUGGUCCUACACCUCCAAAGCCCCCCACUACACCUGAAGUAGCCAGUGAAUUUGAGUCGGAGCAUCCCUUCUUCAAAGUGGUGAUACAGCAAUAUCAUAUGAAACAAAUGGUAAGAUCUGAAGCCUAGUCCACAACUGGCAUAUCUCGAGUUCAAUUUCAAUUGCUAUAAAUCAUGCCUCGAUAUUGUGUUUUCCCAAGUUGAUUUUGUUUGUAUUGGAAACUUAGAUGACAUAAUAUAUUUCUUAAAGUGUCCAUGGAGAAACCUAAUGAUGGAGUAACGCGGAACCAUAAAAAGAUGAAUUAAGUAAAGACUGUAACUGGGUCGGGACUGUCCUUUACUGGGAUGCCCCACAAGCUGCUCUAUUCACUAUCCAAGUGAAAGGAUGGACCGUCACUUUAAUGGUAAACUAACUGAAAAUAGCUAUUAAUGGAGUCACUUCUUUAAUAAUGCUUUUGAUUGCAGGUUAAGAUUGAUAACUUUCAUAAGCCCCUUAAUGCUUGUUGAUUAAAACUCUUGAACUAGCAAUUAUCGGCAAGAAUAUGCCUCAUGUGCUUCUUCUUUUUCACGUGAGUGUAUUCUUAUGAGAUGUCCUUUUAACAUAUGGUGGUUUGUUCAUGCAUGUAUGAAUGUGCAGUAUGUUCCAAAUCAAUUUUCCCAGCAACAUAUUCAAGAAAACAAGGAAAUGGCGACUCUCAGGUUUUCAGAUAGAUCGUGGCUGGUGAAGCUCUUAAGCUAUACGCAUAAUAAAUACCAGGGGGUGUAUUUCUCUGUUGGUUGGAAAGAAUUUGCAAGAGAAACUCAUCUGUGCGUGGGAAAUAUCUGUAUGUUUGAACUCAUUGAUAGUGAUGAUGUUGUCUUUCAAGUCUCCGUUUUUAGUAGUGCUGGUAAGGAUCUGAUUCACAUUGAUUGAGAUGAACAUUUUCUAUUUUAUUCGGUAGUUGUGAAUCAUGAAAAGUAUACCUUUUAUGUUUCUGUUUUCUUCUUCUUUGCACUAGUCUCAAUUCGAUUUUCACGAUGACAGUAAUUUUCACACCAAAUGACUAUCAAUUUCUCAUUGUUUUACUACAGGUGGGACAGAGAAAUCUACAUGCAGAGCGAGCC
This 54867-nucleotide long non-coding RNA is filed under the name Eucalyptus grandis. Its description in RNAcentral is "long non-coding RNA (EGRA_LNC004190)". The record is from RNAcentral. Lineage: Eukaryota; Viridiplantae; Streptophyta; Magnoliopsida; Myrtales; Myrtaceae.